ACUAAAUAUUUUAGAAGAAAUAAUUACCAUUUUUGAGACUUUGUGGGAAGUUCUGAAGAGUGACUAUUCUUGAGAGCUCAAACCCUCAUGAGAUGAACUCAACAUUAUUUUGGUUUGGGAUUGAAAAUUGUCUGAAAGACCAGCUCGGAAGGCAACCAUACUACAGAUGGCUACUAUUAGCCCCUUAGCCCCUUAACUCAAUUUUGGAGGAAUAGAGCCUAGACUGAGAGUAAGGAUGGCCUAAAGGUUUGGUGGUUCAAACCCUAGAAGCUAAGAUGAGAAGGCCAUGUGCUAGCCAGACGCGCACCACGGGCGAGCCAGACGUGCAUCGUGGGUGAGCUAGAUGCGCACCGCGAGCAAGCCAAACGUGCACCAUGGGUGAGCCAGACAGGCACUAAGCAGGCACCACUUGCGCACCAGGCAAGUACUAUGCGUACACUAGGCAUAUGUUGGUUAUGGAGCUGGUGUAGAUAAAGGGUGAGGUUCAUUUUGGAAUGUAAUUUAUAAUUAUUUAAAUAUCCCAUUAUGUCUCCUCAAACAUGGGUGAUGUCUCUUCCAAAAAUUUUGAAAAUGGCAUGUAUUGCUCUUGAAGUGGGGGAGGGGGGUAGGUGACUCGAGGGGGCACCAUGGGAAAGCCUUAACCGCGCCAAGGGAGCACCAUGACAUGACCUUGGCCGUGCCUAGGACACACGAAUGGCACUCAAGCAUUCACACAUGGGCUCCAUGACAUGUGUGGUGUGCACCCCGUGGCCGCAACGACACGGCACAGGCACGAGGGCGCCUAAGCCUUGUGCAAUGAGACAGCUAAGGAAGCCAUGGGCACAAUGCCAUGGUCUAAUGGGGUACUAGAAUGUGCAGCUGAUUCGAUGGGGCCUACGCAUGGCACAACGACACAAUGCCCUGUGCACUAAGAAUGAACAACCAUGGCCGCAAUGCCAUGGCUCGUUGCUAUGGAGUUGGACUUGAUAAUGGGAGCUAAACAUGUGCCUAGGCCAUGGGCACCUCGACAUGGCAUGGGUUAACACAUUAGUGUGGGGAAGACAUACUAAGGCACUAGGCAGCUGAGGCACCUGGUCAGCUAGGUGGUACAUGCGGCUGGUCAAGAGGGCAGCUAGCUAGUGCAACUAACUAGUGACAACUAGUUGGGGCAACAAGUGAUCAGGUCAACAGUUAGCUACAAUGGAUAGGCAGAUGGUUGAGGACUGAUGGUUGGUGCAAAGAGACACAUUGGGCUGAAGGAGUGUCUCUAGCUGGGUAGCUCCAUGAAAAGCUCACCAGUUGGGUGGUUAUGCAAGCAGUUGUGGCCGGUUGUGGCCAGUUGCAUAACCACCAAACUGGUUUCAUGGGUUUUGAACUUUGAAAUUUGAAUUGUAACUUGCAGGCAUGUCUUUUAAAAGGGGGCCUCUUGCAUCCUUGAGACAGAGAUGAUAGAUAAGGAUGGUUCUCUGAAUGCUUAGGGGUGUAAGCAUUGUACUCUGACUUAGGGAAAACGAUUUUGUAUCUUGUAGUGAGUGAAAAAAUACAAGUUGGGAAGGGUUCUCGUAAUUGUAAUUGUCUGUUACUCUAUUUUUCUAAAGACUGGGAAGGAAGGUUGGCUAAGGAAGGGUACUUAGCACCGCACACUUAGUGAAAAAAAUUUAUUAAUAUUCUAGGGUGUGACCACUACCAUGUAUACAGUUUUUGGAGGUACCCUACUAAACCUUGGCAUCACAUUAGCCAAUCAAGGCAGUCAAGUUAUUUCAAAUGGAUCGUAUGUUGGUGUAGGUAAACUGUUUUUAACCCCGAAAACUUUCACACUCAAAUAUUUCUUCCUCUUGCCUCUAGACAUUUUCAAGUUUGCCUUCAUCAACUUCCCUGUGGCUGAAAUAUCUAGUUUUGUUAAAAUGCAUGCGUUUUCUUGAUAUUGUUUAUUAGGUCCAUGAAAAGAGUGAAAAGAUAGAUAAAUUUGAGAAGAUAAUAUGAUUUUCAAUCCUAGAACUCAUGGACAGUCUGUUUUAGUUGUAAAAUAAUUUAACCUCCGAUUCUUGGUAAUAUAAUUGUCCUAAAAUUUUCAAACUUGCAUAUAAGAGCUCUAUACACUACACGUAGGAAAUGAUUCAAGAUGAAAAAAAUCUAUGCAACAGAAAUCCAGAUCUAUAUGAUUCUAUACAAUGUAUAUCAUAAUCAGAACUUGAGAUUAAUGGAAUUAAUGAGCAACUUUGUUUUCUUUUUUCUUUAUUAUUGUAUUUUUUUUUUUUUUAAGGUUUUGGACAAGGCAAUUAACAACCCUGAUUCAAGACAAACAAUUUUAGAGAAAACUUAAAAGGUGUUGUUGGAAACUUGUGUCAUGGUCAAGAACAGCCCAAAGAUCUAUACAUGACAAACAAAGCAGUGUAUCUGACCUAAUUUGUCAGUUUCUCAAAGGAUUUCUCUGAAUAUAACAGCCAAGCCUUUUGCUACCUUCCAUGAGUCAAAAGCUUGAAUAUGCCUCAAAAUGGCUAGGAGGAUACUUGUUUAUUGGGUGCAAGCAACUGGGGAGUUUAUUGGUCCAUUCAAACCUGUAAAAUAUAAUUAUAUUGGUUUUAAGCCAUUGGUUUGCACAUGCAACAAUUAUCAAAAGAAAAUUUUUAUGGAAAAAUCGGAAUUGGUCAUCUUACCUUUCGAACCCUUCAAUUUGCCAUUCCUCGGUUGUAAGCAUCCACCAUUGUCAGGGCAGAAAAUUUUGAAACAGCUGUUAGGUGGGAAAUAGAGUAGUGGCAUCAAUUACAACCUGCUAACUUCAUUGUUGGGGAUUGUUCUUCAUGCCUCGGCUUGUCAAUGAGGUUAAAUGAUCAUAUAUGAAGCAAUAGAUAGAUAUCAAUUAAAUGAAUUAAAAUCCCUAACAAUCUUGUAAUGACCCUCUCACAACUUGAGUAGAUAUUGUUUGAUCUAAAACCAAUAGACUCCCAUGUUUUAAAAACAUGUCUAUAGAAUUAGGAACUUUUUUUUCUAUCACAUGUGGGAUAUCACACAUCCCUCCACACAUUCAACCUUUUUUGAGUUUAUACAUUCAUUUAAUAUCCUUCUUUGGGAUUACCAAUUGAUUAAACAUAAUAAAUAAAUACAAUAAAGCCCAAACUUGUGACAUUUAGUUACCAAUUGACCCAAAAGCUUAUUUUUUAAAUAGUGAACCAACAAUAUAUAUAAAGAUGAGGAUCCAAUACAACUCAACUAAUAUUGACCAUAUCCAUUCAAUUUUCAAUAAUUACAAAGCUCAGUUCUAUUUGAGGAUUAUAAAAACUAACCUAAUUGAUUCAAUUUUCACUUCCUUCAUCUAUUAACUAAUAAAAACUGAACCAAACCAAUAUUUUAGUUUUAUAUCAUUAGGUAUGUGAAAGCCCUCUUGAGACCACUUGUUGAGCCACUAAAAGCAUUGAAACCAAUGGUUGGGUCAACGAAAGCUCUAUGUAUGCAAAUAUAUUAAUGAAAAAGCAUAAAAAAUAAAGUUAAUCAAACAAAGAUAAACAAGGUUUUAACAUGAUUCAAUUGUCUACCCCCACCUACGAGAGAACAUUUUAUAAUAAAAAAUAUUAUGGACAAUAAAUUCAACUAUUGCUUAUCCCCACGAAUGAUAAAUAACAUUAUAUAAUAGAAAAUAUUAUGCACAUAAACAAAUUCAACUAUUGGGUCUCGAAACUUUUUACAUUUCUUCACUUUUUAUAUCUCCAUCUUGAACCACAAGCAUUUUUGCUCUGUUAAGUAUCUCUCACUCUUUCUCGAAUCUCAAUCUUGAACUACGAGCCCUCUUAAUCCACCAGGUGUCACUCACAUUUCCUCACAUCUCUAUUAAUCAUCUAUAAUCUUCACAAACUCAUAUCUCUCUCAUAAUUUUUCUCCGCAUGACAUAGAUUAUUUAUAGAGGAAUUGCUAUUAACUUUCUUUAUUCAAUCUAAUUUUACACCUAUAAAUUUAGAAAAUAUUCUAUACAAUUUUCCUUUUACAAGAAAGAAAUAAAUUUCAAUUAGAAAUUUGAGAAACUUCACAACUUAUAUUUCCUAUGAUCGGUUAUUGUCAAAUUACCCAUAUUGUGUACUUGUAAGCAAAUGGGUCUCAAAUAUGAAAUAACUUCUAACAAUCAAUUGGAAUGAAGGGCAAAAUUAAUUUUCAUCCAAACCAUUAUUUAAAAAAAUCACAUCCAUUUUGAUUCAAGAAUAAACAGAAAAUAUCGAUUUGGUCAGGUUUGAAUCAAAUUUUUUUACACCCAGGUACUUACAGAAAUAAAGAUAGCGUGAGGGAAACUAAAGGAUGAGAGAAUACCUUUGGAAGAUGAGAGAGUGGUCUUUGCCUUAUGAGCUGGGGAUGUAAAGUAGUAGAAGAAGGUAUACAUCUUUUAGUUACAAUGAGGUACGGGUAGAGACUUCUCCUUCCAAAACGGGUCAUGUGCUUUCUAGCCAAUGUUUUAAAGUAAGAAAAUCAAAUAUGUUUUAAAGCCAUGAGAGCUCAUUAAGCGUAAAAUAGAUAAUAUCUAUAUGAAGAAAGUAGAACAUUAUAAAAUGAUAUCAAAACCACUUCUCAACCCUAGUGUACAAUCCUACAAGACAUUAUGAAAACAUUGUGUUUGCAUGAGGGUAACUGUGAUAUCACACAUUGGUUAAGAAAAAAAAUAUUAAUAUUAUAUAUGUGACACCUCGAACCAGAAAGUUAAGGACACCAUAGUCAUUUCACAUGUCAAACCCAAGAGCCUAACAUAUAAAUGACUUCGACUAACAAAUCCAUCAUGUACCUAGCUAAUAGCUACCUCAAAUUCAUUCAAAACAAUAAUAAAAUCAUUCAAAAGGUUAUGAAUCUCUAAUCCAAAACUAAUUAAAAUAUCUAAACAAUAAAUUCAAUGUGUAAGCAUUUUUGUGUGUUGGCAAUUUUGAGUCAAAAUUCCAAUUGCGUUUCUCCUAGCUCAAUCUCUUUAAAUCCUCCCUUAGAUUCUUAUCAUUUCCGAAUUGUUAAUGAUUGAAGAUUGCUAAAAGAGAUGAUAAGUAUUUUUAAGGUGAUGGAUGAUAUCAAAUAUUGGUCAUCCAAGUUUAAAUAUUUUAUCCUUUUGAUUCAAAAAUGGAAUUGAAGCUUAAGAGUGUUAAAAUUUGUAUUUAUAUCAAUUAGAUCCAUUUUUAAUCAAUCAAUCCAAAGGGUAACAGUUCGUGCUAUACCCAGAGUUUUUUCAAUCAUGUCUGAUCGAUCAAAGUUCAAUUAUAUCUGGGAAUCUUCAUUAUUUUCCAAACAAAUCUCAACUAUUUUAUGGGUUUUAAAAGCCUAAUAUUUAAGCCAUAUUUCCAAAUUAGGAGGAAAUGAUUGUGAGAGCCAAGUGACCUCCCUUGAACUUAAAGUUCUUUACUCAUUUUGGGAGUAUUUGGUUUGAAAGAAAAUUUUAUACAUGUUGAGUUGAAAAUAAUCUUUUGAAUGAGAAAAUUUCUUUCAAAAUGUAUUGAUUCAAUGUGAGUUUUAUCCUUACUAUAAUAUUUAUAAUAUUUGAGGUAAAACUCGAAAAUUUUCUGAUUUGGAUUUACAAAGUGGAAGAUCAAGUUUGGUGUGGAUUCCAAGUAUGUUCUAGAUAUAAAAAAAAAAAAAAGCUAGUAGUUGAAGUUUAAAGGUUCUAAACAAGUGGUAUGUGAGAUGAUUAAAGGCUUAGACUAGAUAAAUCUUUAUACUUGGUUAAUUUUCUUCACAAUAGAUGUUUUUGAUUGCCAAUAGACUCAUAGAUACCAAGACGAGAGUAACUCCAGAUUGAUACCAAGAUGGAUUUAACAGUUUAUCUUGCACAAAGGAAUGUCUGGAUGGAUUUCCGAAUAUGCCACUCCGAUGAUUAAAUCAAAGGAAGUUGACUUGAGCAAGAAAAUGUUGUUUUGGAAAGGUAGCAGCAUACCUUUCUGUGGACAUGGGUGGCUAUUUAUUUUUGAUCAUGUGUAACAUCUUUUUAGGCAUUUUAAUAACACCAUAAUUGCUUUUGAUUAUGCAUUAUUGUGGCAGUGAUUACCAACCCAUAAUGGUUAUUUUGCUUUGAUGAGCCUUAAAUAAUUGUGUCUUAUCCUUGUAACGGCUGCAUCAAUCAAGCUUGGAUGAAAAGAAUCCCUAGAUUCUGUCGUCUUUUCCAAGCCUUAUUUUAUUUUCUAUGGAUGUCUUUUGCUAGAUAAGAUAAGGAGGACCACUCUUCUACGCUCCUCUCCCACUUAUUGCGGCGGGCUCUACUCCUUAGCUUUCAAGCCCCUUGUAUAGUAAGGUUUGGAACCCUAUGGAAGAAAGUAUCAGCACGCACUAUGACUUCACUUUGGAAACUGGUAGUGGACGAUGAGGAGCGGAAGCCACUCUCCCUAAUCAAUAAGCAGGAGAGGAGCGAAGAGCUUUAUUGGAUACUUUACUUUAUAGCACGCCAUGUUUCACAGCCGCAUCGCCUCGGAUUUAGGGAUUUUUGUCGAAAUCCAGAAUGAAAACGGUCUUUCCAUUUGGAUUCUUAAUGCCUAAGUUCAGCAAGUAUAACGGAGUUGGUGAUCUUUUUAGGUGCAUCAUAAAAAGAGUCAGCGCUAUCUUUUCUCACCCACCAUGCGUAUCGGUACCCAUAGUAGUACAUUUUAGAGCAAUACUAGUUUCUAUCUUGAAAGAUCGAAGUUAUUUACCACUAAGAGUCCCGGUCUUUCUUAACAGUUGUAAGAGUAAUAUAAGUCUGGGUCUGACUAGGGGAACUAAUACUUUCUAGUCAAAAGUCUCAAUCUAUAUAGGCUAUAUAGCCUAUAUAGAAUUGGUAAUUUCUUGAUAUCUUUGGCAAGGGCUAUAUUUAGAAUACCAUAUAGCGGCGGGAUAAGGCAAGCGUUUUGAUCAAGCCCGUAUCAAGUUCCUUACGGAUUAGAGGUCAAACCCUGCUUUUUGUAUUAUUAUUAUUAGGCUCGUGUCUGGUGCACAAUUAAUGCUUGAAGGCGAUUUAAUGCUUUGAGGCAAGUCAAGCACCAUUCUCACUGUCCAAUCGUUUGGAAUAGUCUUUCUACUACCCUACACCUAGGUGAACUAUCCGUUCGGUUUUAUGUCCUCCUUUGAGACAGCGAUGGACAUAGACAAUUAUAGGGGACAAAAUGAGAAUGUGGACCCCACAAAUUUCCUUUCCAUUUCCUUGUUUGGCUACUUGGAAAAAGGUCGAAAAAACGUCUAGACUCUAGACCAUGGAUUGAUCCAAAACCAUUAAUUGGUUGCAUCUAGACCAUGAAUUGGUAUAUUUUUUCCAUCUGCCUUUCCUUGAAAACCCAUUUUUAUUUUUUAAUUAAUAAGAUUUAAUGAUGAAUAUCUUAGUUUUGUAAAAAUUAUAACAUUUGUUGAUAAGAAUUAUGUUUACGAGUAUUUUAAAAAUAUUUUUAUUAUAUAUAUAUAUAUAUAUAUAUAUAUAUAUAUAUAUAUAUAUAUAUAUAUAUAUAUAUAUUUCUUAGUUGUUUUAAAAUCCAAACAAAUCUUGAUUGCAAGUAUCAAAGUCAUAUUUGAAAGUUUUAUCAAAACAUUUUUAAAAAUUGCUUUUACUUUAAAAACUACUUUGAAUAGGUCAUAUAUGAAAAUUGUUGCUAAAUGUAACUUUCUACUCUAAAAAAUACAAAAAAAAAAUAAAAAAAAAAUGAAGUGUUUGGUAAACUUUAAAUAGAAAAUUGUAUUUUGAGAAUUUAUUUUAAAAAUAAAUUUGAGAUGUCUAUUUUUAGUAAUGUUAUUAACAGUUCAAAAAAUCAAUAAUACUUUGAAAUCUUUUUUAAUAUACGUAAGUGUUUGAUACUUUCAUCAAUAAGCCAAAAAAAACUGUUUUUCAUGUUUAAAAACAAUUGAAAGUUGUUUUUAAAUUCUUGUUUGGAUGGAUGUUUAAGAAACUAAGAAAUCUUUUUUAAGUUCAAUUAAGACCUGUAUGCCUCUUUGACUUAUUUUGUUGAAAGCGUUUAAAUUUAAAAAUAAAAAAUAAAAAAUAAAAAAUAAAAAAUAAAAAUUCGACUAAAUAUAUUUAACUCUAUAUGUUUGAAAUUUCAUUUAAUACAUCUUCUAUCCUUUUCAUUCCUUAUUUUCACUCACCCCCAUUUUCAUUCAAAAUAAGAGAGGUGUAUAAUAAAAUUUAAAUUUAUGGGGGUUAAAUGUAUUUAGUCAAAGCUUCAAGGAAGAUAAAUGAAAUUAACCCUAAAAAAAAAAGGCUUAAUAUAGAAGCCAAUAAAUAUUUCUUAUCAUAUUAAUUCUAUUUUAUUUUACAUAAGAAAUUUUUUCAAGUUUGAGCUAAAGUAAAGAAUAGUAAGUUAUUCCAAACAAGGUUUAUGAAUUAUUCAAAAAAAUAACAUAUUCAUAAUAAAUUUUAUAAGUCUACUCUUAUCAUUAUUUAUCUUAAAGAAUGGGAGUAGGAAUUAUCUAUUAUUAAUCUAUCAUUUUGCAAAACUUAUGUUCAAACUAACACCUUUAUUACCACAUAGGAACCAUAUCAUGCCCCAAAACCCACUCCAAGGGCAUGACAGUCAUUUCACACCUCAAGCCAAAAGGCUCAAAGUGGAAACAAUACAAACAUUCGUAUUGUAACUGAAAAUUUACCAAUUACCAAAUUCUUGUUCAAAGUAGUAGGACAUAAUUCUAAAUUCUCCAAGUAUCAACUUUAAAAAAUACUAAUACAUCAACCAAAGUGUUAUUGUCUAAAUAACUCCAAACUCAAAAUAAUUCAAACCAAAAUUAAGUUUUAACAUCUAAAAAAUGUCCAAAAUAAAGAGAGUUUAAACAAAUGUCCUAAUAAAGUCAAAUUUCCCUCUUAACGGUCAUUCGUCGCCCGAACUGAGGUUACUUGAAAGAUUAUGAAUAAAGGAAGAUGAGCUCAAAGCCUAAUAAGGAACAUUAAUAUAGUUUCAUGGAUUAAACAUUUUCAAUCAUGCUUGUAAAUAGGAGAUAUAACAUGUAUUUAUUUUCAUAAAAACUUUUGACUUCAAAAUACUAAUAUAUUCAAACUUUUCAACAAAACUUUCUCAUAUCCAUUUCAAAACAAUUUCUCAUCAAAAUCAAAUCGAAUACAUUCAAAAUAUAUUUAUUCUGGUUAUCGUAUGACAAAUGGUGCCCAAUUAGGUGGGACUUCAUAAUUGAGUAACUAGUUUCAAAUGUGUUCCAUUUAAGGUGAACAAAACCAAAUGUCAACAAUUAUAACCUGUUGACUAAGGCCAUAAGGUCAACUAUUAUAACUAGUUAACUAGGACCAUAUAACAUCAACUAUUAUAAUCGUUGAUUAGGACCAAAAAUGUCAACAAUUAUAACUCGUUGACUAGAGCCAUAUAAUCAAGAGUCAAACACUUCAUUUCAUUAAUUCAAAUUUACAAAACAAAACAUCAUAUCUUCUCAAUUUUUCAUUUUUCAUAAACAAAGAAAAGACUCAAAUAUACUUUCCAUACAAAACAUAUAUUUGAUCCAUGCGUAAAAAUAAAAAUAAUAUUUUUACACAUUUCAAAAUACAAAAUAAAAAAAAAUAUUUUCUUUUAUAAAAAUUUGCAUUAAUUUCCCUUACCUUGAAAAAAUGCUUAAAAACUUGAAGUAUUUACCUUGAUGAAUUUACUCCUCACCUAACAUAAUAUCAUACACAAUUAUCUAAAGGUAAAAAUUUGACAAUCCUAAAAAUAUCUUAUUUAGUAUUAGGGAUCCUAAUUAAUUUCCCAUGCUAAUAUUAUUACUACCCAAUAUUAUUUUCAACUUCUUAAACAAUAAUAAUAUAACUUAAUGAAUUUCCAAAUUUUUUAUAAACUCUGUUAGACAAAUUAGGCUAAUCCAACCUAUGGUAAUCACCCUAGAGGGGGGAGGGGUGAAUAGGGUGAUAGUCUCUUUUUUCAAAUUUAAACUAUGUGAAUGUAAGAGACAAUUAUAUGUAAGUAUAUAAUAAGCAAUAUAAAGACAAUUGCAUAUAAAUUAAAAGAAUAGGGAAGAGAGAAUGCAAACAUAAGAUUUUAUAGUGGUUCGGCGCAACCCGACCUACAUCCACUCUCCUCUAGCUUCAAUCCCAAGCUUGAGGUUCCACUAAUUCAAGGCCUCCAAACCAAGCCUUCAAGCAAUACAAUUGGAUUAUGGUUCCAAUUCACCCUCUUGGACUUUUGGCUCCAAGCACCCUUUAUACUUCUCAAGAGAUAUCCCACUCUUGAACAAUCCCUCAAGUGAUACCUCACACUUGAGAAAUUUUCUCUCAAAGAUUUACUGAUUCAUGCCCAAUUGGUGUCUCAGUUGAUUCGUGUCCAGCUGGUGCUCCUUGAUUGAGGGAGUAAUCAACAAAAUUUAUAACCUAUUACACCAUAUACUAGGGUAGCAAAGAAAAAGCUACUAUAGCAUAGUGGCUCUAGGAUCGUUCACUGGGAAGGGUUUCCAAAUUACAAAUGAUACCAAUUCAAAGUGAAUUGGUGCUUUUUCAUUUCAAGGUUAGCUUAAGAAAUAAAACACAAACUUUGGUUGAAAAAGAUUUAGAUUUAAGCUAACGGCAAAACAAGUAAUGGAAAUUACUUAUAAAGAAAAAACAUUCCUUGGAGAUUUAGGUUCACAGGGGAGGUUCCUCAUGCAAAAACAUAGCUCCGGUCAGUUGGUUCAUUUCCUCGCAUUAGAGAAUUAACAUAUAGUCAAUUCUCUAAUCAGUGCUGUAUAAAUGCAUUCCUUAAUUGGAUUUUAGCUCUAAUUCCCUCUCAUUGAUGCAACUUGCAAUGGUUCAUGCCUCUCACUAGCACUUACCAUUCAAGGUGAUCUUUAACCUUGGACUUCCCUUCAAAAGCUCGCAAGAGAUAACUAAUGGAUGUCUCCUUGGAGUCCAAAAGCUUACCAAGUGUUGGCACUUCUAGAAAAUCCUACCUUCAAGUCACCUCCCAGAGGCUCGCAAGGGGUAAACUAGUGCAUCUCCGUGGAUAGAGAUCACUUGCCUUACCAAGUGUUGGCCCAGGUGACUCCAAGGCGUUUUAAGUUAAUUAAAAACAUAUAGAAAUCACAAAAGGAUAACACUUACUCUUCAUUCAUGGCUGAAACCACAAAGCUACUAAUUCAUGCACUUGGAACCUUUCCCGACAACCUUAACUCCAAGGAACUAAAGGUUUAGUUACUCAUGCUAUGGGGAAACUCCCUCAGAGAAUUCAUAACUAGUAAAUAAAAAAUACAAUCAAAGUGAGAAGGUAAGACAAAGAUAAGCUCUGUAUUUUACUUCCUUACAAACUUUUACAAAAAGUUUCGUCUCUCUUGAGAACAAGCUCUCAAGAAGCUAUUUAUAUGAAAAAUUACAAUACUAAUUAUUACAUGGAUAUUUAGUCUUUUUCCUAACUUAAAAGCUAAGGAAACUUAUAAUUGGUGGCUUACAAGGAGAAUUUUGGGAUUUAGACAACAAAAAUCUGAUGAAAAAUAUCCCCAAGUGUCGGUCGUAAAUAUCGGGAAGCACUAAGGACCAUUUCGCAGGUGCAAACGAGGUCUGCGAGAUUUCGCAGAUGCACAAAAAGGGCUGCGAAAUCACUUUGUAGCAAACGGCUGAUUUCGCAACGCUGCGAAGUGGUCUUUCAGCUUGCGGUGUUCGGCUUCCAACGUGACGAGAAACUUCAGGGGGAAAUCCACAACACUGUACAAAAAGGCUGCGAAAUCAUUUCGCAACAAAAGGGUGAUUUCGCAGCGCUGUGCAAAAUUCUUCCUUCAGCUUGGAGUGAUCGGCUUGCAAUGGCUGUAACUUCUUCAUUUCAACUCCAAAUUGUGCACCGUUUAAAGCAUUGGAUUUUUAACUUCCUGAGCUUCAAAAUGACAUAUAGCAUGUAUAAAUUGGACUUCAGGAAGUGCUCCAAAAUUGGCUGACAUGACUGUCAUCAAGAAUACUUCAUGGCAGAUUUCUCUUUGCUUCCUCUCCUUGCAUUCUGUAUUUGCUUAUGGCAAAGGACUUCAAAGCUUUGGUUCUUCAUGUUUCUGAGCUUUCCAUUGCUUUGCCAUGGAUUCCAAAUAAUUAUCCUCAAUCUCGGAUUGCUUUGGUGAUCAAAAAGCUAUCAAAACACCAAAACUUAACACAAUUUGAUUAGAAUUGAUUGCAAAGGUCUUUAAUAUGUUAAUUGGGUUAAAAGGCAAUAACUACUACUCAAAAGUGUUUAAAAGAGUUAAUUACAAGCUAUGAAAUAGCACUUUUUGAGUAGUAAUCAUUUACAAAUAAACGAUCUCACAAAAUCCUAGUACAAAAACUUUAAGCUCAAAUGAUACAAGAAUACUAGGAUUGAAAGGUGCACUAAAGAUAUGCAAGUUUUAGAACAAUGGUGCACUAAAAAACACUCUUCCAAGACUCAAAUAUAUUCAAGAAAGGUUUGGGAAGGUUAAACUUUUUAAACAAUGAAGAUUAAAGCUUUUUUAUAAAAGAGAAAAGCCAAACUAGUCGUUUGGGGGUUCGACCGGUCGAGUUAGGGGUCGACCGGUUGACUAGCCGUUAGCAUUAAAUGUUUGGCAAGUGAUCGUUGGGCCUCAGCUGGACCUCUACCGAUCCUCGAUCGGACCUCAAUCAGGAAGAGAAUCACCUCAAUCGGGAAGAGAAGGCCACUGGGAGAGAGAGAGAGAAAAAGUUUUUGGCAUCCCUCGACCGGUCCUUGACUGGACAAGCACAACCAUUUGACUGGUUCCUCAACCAAUUCAACCGAUUGAGCCAUUUUUUGGCUCAACAAACAACGUUUUCAACUUAAAACCUUUUCAAACAAGUUUGAAAAACAUUUAACAUAAGGUUUUAGUUGAAAACAUGAAAUCAUCCAAUUCUUAAAAUAUUUAAAAAAAAAAAUAACUCUUGGAUGAUUUUGGUGCAUAAGUAAAGAAUGUAAUGCAUGAAAAUCCUAGUGCACCAACAACUUUACAAAGAAAUCUUAUGAAGCUUGGGUCUUGAAAAACACUUCUCUUUGAGGUGGUCUUCUUCUUCAUGAUUUUUCCUUGGCUUGAUUUGUCUUUGUGAUUGCCACUUUGGAAAUCGUCUUGCCUAAUCACACUUGAAAUAUAAUCAUUAGUUCUAAACCUUGUUUUGUUAUCAUCAAAAUCAAGAUUAACCAAACCUUGGUUUCACAAACUCAUUUCUUCCAAAUCUUAUUUUAACCAAUUAUUUCUUUUGUAUACUUAAACUAAAUUAAAACUUUUAUUAAAAACAAUUACUAUUGUUAUUACUAUAUUUUUAGAUACCCCGUAACAUCCAAAUAGCCCUACUGUACGUCACUCACAAGCAUCCAAAUCACACAAUUCUUACUAUUAUCAUUAUUCUUAUUAAUCCCAACUAUUAUUAUUAUUAUUAUUAUUAUUAUUAUUAAUCUUACGUCACCUACAAGCAUCCAAAUCACACAAUUCUUACUAUUAUCAUUAUUCUUAUUAAUCCCAACUAUUAUUAUUAUUAUUAUUCUUAUUAAUCUUACGUCACCUACAAGCAUCCAAAUUACACAAUUCUUACUAUUAUUAUUAUUAAUAUUAUUAUUAUUAUUAUCAUUAUUUUUAUUAAUCCCAAUGUCCUUUCUUACUUAACAAAAUACCCCAGGUACUUUUAACAACCCCACCAACUCUACUCAUUAUUAUUAUUUUAAUUUAUUCCACUACCACUCUUUGCCUCUCACGGUGACCUAUUAUUAUUAUUAUUAUUAUUAUUAUUAUUUUGUCACCCCAACACAGUGCCUCAAAUCCAAAAUCCAGAAUCAUACAAUUCUUCUUAUUAUUAUUUUUCAAUCCCUUAAGCCACAUAUAAUCAUAUAUUUAUUUACUCAUUUAAUUUUUAAAAUUUCAUUGUUUAAAUCUAUUGAUUACUACCAAAAAGUGCUAUUUUGUAGACCUAAUUAUAAUGGUUUUAAGCACCUUUGACUAGUAAUCAUAUUCAUUUAACCCAAUUAAUUCAUUAAGGUCCUUAGUAAUUGGUUUUAACCAUUUUGUGGCAAGUUUACAUGUUUUUAUCAGCUUAUGAAUCAAUUCAAGCAUGCCAAAUGAUGGAGGAGCUACUUGGACAAGUUAUGGCAAAGCUUUUAGAAGCUCAAAUUCAUGAAGAACCAAGCUUUGGAGCUCCAUAGCCCUUUUCCAAAGUCGUUCAAAGUAUGCAAGGAAAGAACAAUGGAGAAGAGGAAAACAAAGUGAAGAAAAGAGAGGACAGCAGCUGUAGUCUUCUUUCGCACUUUUGGAGCACUUCCCGAAGUCAAUUUUUUACAUACUAUAUACCAUUUCAAAGCUCUGGAAGUAAAAAAUCCAACACUUCAAACCGUGCAUGAUUUGGAGUUGAAAUGAGGAAGAUAUGGCCUUCGGAAGCCAACUGCUCCAGGUUAUGCGAAAAUUUCACAUAACACCUUCAAAAUUCGCAUAACCCAUGCGUGUUGCGAAUUUUCCUCUGUUUUUGCUGACUCCACUUUAGAUAUUUUCCUUUGUAUUUUGUGAUGUAAUUUCCUUUCUUAUCCUUGUAACUAACCAAUCACAAGCUUUUGCUUUUGUAAAGACUAUAUAAGGGGUGGAAAUCACCUCUUGGAAUAUAGAUAAUAUAUAUUACGUUUGACACUUAGAAUAUUUACAGAGCUCUCCCGUUUCUAUUUUCUUAGUAGCCAAACAGCCUCUAAGGGCUUUUCCUCAGAGGAUGAUUGGCUAAAACUUUUAGUUUCUCAAAGUAUGGAUGUUAUGUGAUGGCUUGGAUGCAAUCCCAUGGAAAUUUCUCACACCCGGAAGGUAAGGUAGUCGUUUUUCAUUAAAGGUUCAUUAAUGCAAAGUUUGGUUUUUAUUUCCUUUGGACAACUUCCAACGGCCAAUACUUGAUAAGCUUUUGGAUUUCUAUCCAUUAGUUAUCUCCUACGAGCUAUUGGAAGGUGAGGUUUUCAAUUCUAAGUUUUGUAUUAAUCCGUUAGANNNNNNNNNNNNNNNNNNNNNNNNNNNNNNNNNNNNNNNNNNNNNNNNNNNNNNNNNNNNNNNNNNNNNNNNNNNNNNNNNNNNNNNNNNNNNNNNNNNNCUCUGUUUUUGCUGACUCCACUUUAGAUAUUUUCCUUUGUAUUUUGUGAUGUAAUUUCCUUUCUUAUCCUUGUAACUAACCAAUCACAAGCUUUUGCUUUUGUAAAGACUAUAUAAGGGGUGGAAAUCACCUCUUGGAAUAUAGAUAAUAUAUAUUACGUUUGACACUUAGAAUAUUUACAGAGCUCUCCCGUUUCUAUUUUCUUAGUAGCCAAACAGCCUCUAAGGGCUUUUCCUCAGAGGAUGAUUGGCUAAAACUUUUAGUUUCUCAAAGUAUGGAUGUUAUGUGAUGGCUUGGAUGCAAUCCCAUGGAAAUUUCUCACACCCGGAAGGUAAGGUAGUCGUUUUUCAUUAAAGGUUCAUUAAUGCAAAGUUUGGUUUUUAUUUCCUUUGGACAACUUCCAACGGCCAAUACUUGAUAAGCUUUUGGAUUUCUAUCCAUUAGUUAUCUCCUACGAGCUAUUGGAAGGUGAGGUUUUCAAUUCUAAGUUUUGUAUUAAUCCGUUAGAACCAACUUCAAUGGCCAUUGAAAGGUGAGUUUAUCACCUAGAAUGACUUUAAGUUGCCAAUAUUUGGUAAGCUUUUGGCUUUAGACCAUUAGUUAUCUCUUACGAGCCAUUCAAAGGAAGUCUAAGGUGAAUAACCAUUGAUGAAAUUCACUACCAUCUGUUUUGUCAUUUUAAAGGAUUAAAACUUGAUUUGCUAAAUCCAUACCGGUUCGGGAAGCAAGCAUCACCAUAGUUGCAACCCCAACGCGAGGAGCCUAUCCUGAGAUUUCCAAUUUGCAUAAGAGCCAGAGCAUAGCUAUCCUAUCUUUGAGAAACUUGUUUUUACACCCUUUCAUUUUAGUCUUUAAUGUUAGCUUAGAUUAGUUUAAAUCUUUCUAAAACAUUUACAUCUUCUUUUAAAGCUAACAUCCAUAAGAAAAUCACCUAUUUUCCUAAUUUGAAUAUCACUAGUGUUUGCGAAAACCCUUCCCAGUGAACGAUCCUAGAACCACUAUGCUAUAGUAGCUUGACUACUUUAGUAAUAGUAUUCAAGGUAUAAAUUUUGUUGAUACGCCUUUAAAGCUAAGCUACCAUGAGUCGAAUCAUCUAUUCAUUUAAAAAAAAUUCGAAUUUCCUUAUUUUCAUCAAUGAAACAACCUAUAUUCAUAAUUUCAAAUUUUUGAUCUUAAAAUAAAUUAACUAAACUAACUCUAAUCUAAAUUAAAAUUUUCUAAAGAAUAUUUAAUGUAUUCAAAACUAACUAACAAAUAUAAUAUAUUAAUUUAGGGUUAGAAUCUUAUUUAGAAAAAAUUUCAACUUCAAACUUUAGACCUUCAAAUCUUUAACUCUAUGUUUUCCAAUUCUCUGAUUUUGUUUUUUUUGUUUUUUUUUUUUGUUAAUAGAGUUUUCUGAAUAAAGAAGGCAAGAUGAAAAAUCUAAUUUAUACUACGGGUUAUUAAUUGUAAAAUGACUCUUUUAUCUUUAAUGAGUUUAAUUAAUUAAUUAAUUAAUUUAUAAUUUACUAUUUUGCCCCUAAAAUUUAUUUUUGGGUGUUACAACCAUGUCAUAAAAAAUAUGUUAGAAAAUAAAAGCUAUGCUUAAAGGAGAAAAACACCCAAGAGGGGGGUGAAUUGGGUUUUUCAAAAAACUUUUUCAAUACAACAAAUUCAAGCACAAUAUAAACAAGAAAUAAAGAGAUAGAGUUAGAGAAUUCAAACUCAGAUUUUAUAGUGGUUCGACACUUCUUUGCCUACGUCCACUCUCCUCAAUCUCCUAACCAAGUGAGGGUUUCACUAGCUUGAAGCUUCAACCAAGCUUCCAAUCCUUUACAUUUGGAUUCUGACUCUAAUGGGCUUUUACACAAUAUCUUCAAGAUUCAAACCUCUUGAAGUCUUUAACACUCAAGUUUUACAAGAAAGAAUCCCUCAACCUAGCUCAAAUACAAAACAAAGCUAGGAUGACUCACAAUGGUGCACUAAAAAAUAUGCAAGUGAUGGUUUAAUGCACUAAGAAAUAAAUGAGAACUUUUAAUCCAAGAACAGGUAGGUAGACAAUUGAUUGUAGGUGUUCUCUAUGUCAUAAAUGAAGUGGAGCUCUCAAUUUAUAGGUUUCUAAACUCGAGAGCCAAAAACAGCAAAAGGCAGCCUCGACCGGUCGAGCUGGGGGUCGACUGGUUUACUAGCCGUUGAAGCAUUUAAUGCUUUGGUAGGUUACCGUUGCCUCGACCAAAGGUCGACCGGGAAUAAGUGAACCUCAAUCGGGAAGAAGAAGCUAUUGGAUGAGAGAGAGUAUUUUUGGCAUUCCUCGACCCGACCUCAAUCUGACAAGGGCAAUCGGUCGACCGGUUCCCUAACCGGUUGAGUCGGUUGGCCAGAGCCUCGACCAGUUCAGCCUUUUGGCCCUGAAAACCUAUCAUUUUCAAUCCCUUUCUUUUCUAACACUUAAGCAAGGUCUUUAGGUAAAUUAAUAAGCCAAUUUUAAAACAUUUUGCCUAAGAUACAUUUGAUAAAACUUGGGUUUUAAUGAAAUCGAAAUUUUAAAGAAUAAACCGAGUUUUCAAAUAUGCAUGAAAAGGUAUGAAAAACCUAAGUGCACCCAUGCAUUAAUCUUACAUUCGUUUCCUAUUAUCAAAAUUCUUCCAAUAGUCUCAAUCUUGUAUCCCUUUGGUCCUUUGAUGAAUUUCCGAAUUUAUACUUGAGAUUCUUUAUCAUUCAAACCAAUUAGUCACUUAACCAUGGUUUGUUAUCAUCAAAAUCCGAUUGGGGGAACCCUUGGGCUAACAAUCUCCCUCUUUUUUAUGAUGACAAAUCUUGGUUAUCUAGGAGAAAAAGAAAUCUCCCCAUCAAACUAAUCAUGGAUCAAUUAAUUCAAAAUUUAUGAAUUUAAAAUCGAGAUAAUCAGAACAUGCGAAUUUUCAAUAGGAAACAAUGUAAAUCAUGAAAAUAGCAUAUCAUAUAUAGUAAAGUCAAAUGUACACGAAACAUCCAAAUAGAUGAUAUGAUAAUGAUAUGCAUGUAUAGGUCUCCUAGAUCCUAAAUAUCUCUCCCCCUUUGGCAACAUCAAAAAAGAAAAGAAAUGGGUCUCGAUGAAAUCAAGGUUGAGGAGGUGGAAGUGGAAACACUGAGUGUAGAUAAGCCAUCAUCUCCUCAUGCUAACUCUCCUGGCAACUCUCAAUGCACUCAAUCCUCUACUGAAGAUGCUCAAAUGUAGCCUACUACUGAUCCAUACGAUCCUUUAUAUGCUCAAAUCCCUACUACAGAUGUUCAAACUGAGAUGAGAAGCCAGUUUGAUAGUGAUCAAUGCGAUCCUCUAUAGAAUAGAAUCCGGUAUCAAUGACUACUGCGAGCUCCUCCAUAUGAGUGCCAAGUAAACUGAUCUAAGCAGAUAAAUCCAUCAAAGGCGCAUGAUCAAGAGCGUGAGGUGUCUGAUGAGAUGGUAUCUCUGUGUAAGGAAGCUCAGUGAAAGAUGGCUAAGAGGAUGGUCCCGUUGUGUAAGUCGGCUCAAACAUCAUAGGCUCAAAGAAUGUGGCCUCAAAUUGAACACCCUCUGACUGGAGUGCAAGAAUGUCGAGAUCAGGUUCUCUCUGCUCAAAGCCUCUCUAAAGGUUUAACCCACCCUCCAUCUCACAAAUCUUGGCCUCCUCCUCUGCUCCGGGAUGCACCUAUCCCUGUCCUCGGACCUAUGUUGGUGGUCGGUCAGCUCUCCUAAUCCAGGAGCCAUCAGGGGCCUUCUCAAACUUCAUCCGCCCCAAGGACUACUCAUCAUAAGUGUCAUAAAUACUAGGGGCCUCGAAGUCUAUCUCUCUGCUAAAAUCAACCCCGACAUCCUUGAAUACUCUAGUAAGGAAGCGACCGUAGGGGAGUACUCGGGUCAUGCUCUCGCAGCAUGAUAUCAUGUGCAUCAUCAUCAGAUACCUCACAUGAAUUCGUCUCCCCGUUAGAAUGGAGUCCACAAGGAAUGCAUCAAGAUAGGAGACCUCAUCUUGGUGUCCACCUCGUGGCAAUAGGAUGGAGCAGAUCAUGUGAUGAAGGACUCGGCUGAUCAUGGUCAGGCUAUGUGUCGAUGGUUUGCCCAUCCCCUAGGUGUCUGCAAAGCCGCACAUCCUCUGAAUAGCCUUUCUAGGCUCGAAACCCAGCAUAGUGGUCCAAGCCUUGGACUCAUACACCCUAAGUCCAAUCGAAGGAAUGUCAAAAAUAUGGAAAAUGCUCUCCUGGUUCAGCUGGAUCUCAACACCUCUAAUAGUGGAAAUGAUCGGUCCUCCAAGUCCAUAGGUCACUCGUGAAUAGAAUGCACACACCAGAGUCAGGAAAAUUGGCUCAGAAAUAGUCACUACUGGAAGCCAUCCCAUCAAUCCGAAAAGUCCCUCAAACCCAAAAUACUGAAGUUGGGAGAAAUUGAUCCUUUUCCUGCCAUUUUCAGUUGAAAUCUGCAAUUUUUUACGUUCAAUGCCAAGGGAAUUUUGAUUUUUGGUCAAAAUUUGACCAUUUUCCUAAGUAUAUGUCUAUAUGCUGCAUAUAAUAUGAAAUUCAUGCAAUCAUAAGGUAUAUUCAUCAAGCAAUCAUUUGAUCAUAAAGAAAUCACCCCUAGUUGUCUUCUAAUAUCAACAAAUUGUUCUUCACUUAGAGGUUUCGUAAAUAUAUCGGCAAGUUGAUCUUUUGUGCUUACAAAUUCAAGUGUAAUGUCACCCUUUUGUACAUGGUCUCUAAGAAAAUGAUGUCUAAUUUCUAUAUGCUUAGUCCUAGAGUGUUGCAUGGGAUUUUUUGAAAUAUUUAUGGCACUUGUGUUAUCACAUUUAAUAGAAACAUGCUCAAAAGACAAAUUGAAAUCACUAAGUGUUUGUUUCAUCCAAAGAAUUUGUGCACAACAUAAACCGGCUACUAUGUAUUCUGCUUCCGUCGUUGACAAAGCUGCCGAAUUUUGCUUCUUACUAUGCCAUGAAACAAGUGAGUAUCCUAGGAAAUGACAAGUGCCACAAGUGUUUUUUCUUUCAACUUUACAACCGGAAAAAUCGGUAUCCGAGAAUCUAAUUAAUUCAAAGUUAUCACCCUUAGGAUACCAUAAGUCUAUGUCCAUCGUCCCUUUCAAAUAUCUAAGGAUUCGUUUUACGACACUUAAGUGAGAUUCUUUAGUACAAGAUUGAAAUCUAGCACACAAGCAUACACUAUACAUGAUGUUGGGUCUAUUAGUGGUCAAAUAUGGCAAAGAACCUAUCAUGCCUCUAUACAUAGUUGAUUCAAUGGAUUUACUUUUCUCAUCCUUAUCAAGCUUGAUGGAUGAGCUCAUUAGAGUCUUCAUUGUUUUGGCUUCUUCCAUGUUGAACCUUUUGAGAAGAUCUCUUAUAUAUUUUGCUUGAUUGAUGAAGGCUCCUUCCUUUUGUUGUUUGAUUGAAGUUCAAGGAAGAAGUUGAGUUUUCCCAUUAUGCUCAUUUCAAACUCACUAUGCAUGCACUUAGAAAAUUCUUCACAAAGAGAUACAUUAGUAGCUCCAAAAAUAAUAUCAUCAACAUAUAUUUGAACUAAGGGCAUGUCAUUUUCUUUGGUCUUUAUGAAAAUAGUUGUGUCAAUUUUUCCCAUUUUAAAACCCUUUUUCAAAAUAAAUUUAUUCAAUCUUUCAUACCAAGCUCUAGGUGCUUGUUUCAAAUCAUAAAGUGUCUUUUUAAAUUUUAAAAACAUGGUUAGGAAAGUUAAAACUUUGAAAACCAGGUGGUUGUUCAACAUAUACUUCUUCAUUUAUAAAGCCAUUUAAGAAAGCACUUUUUACAUCCAUUUGAUAUAAAACAAAGUCUUUAAAACAUGCAAAGGCAAGUAGCAUCCUAAUGGCUUCCAAUCUAGCUACAAGGGCAAAAGUUUCUUCAUAAUCUAUCCCUUCUUCUUGAUUAAAACCUUGGGCUACCAAUCUUGCUUUAUUUCUAACAAUUAUGCCAUUUUCAUCCAUUUUAUUUCUAAAGACCCAUCUAGUUCCAAUAACACUUUGAUUUGAAGGUCUUGGCACUAAUUCCCAUAUUUCACUUCUUUUAAAUUGAUUUAACUCUUCUUGCAUAGCAAUCAUCCAAUUUUCAUCAACUAGAGCAUCAUUUAUAUUUUUAGGUUCAAUUUGAGAGAUAAAAGCAAGAUUAUUGCAAAUAUUUCUAAGAAAUGAUCUAGAUCUAGUUCUUACCCCACUAGAUGGAUUACCUAUAAUUUGAUCUUGUGGGUGGUUGAUGACAAACUUCCAACCUUUAGGAAGGUCUUGGCUUGAUUCACCUUGCACUUGUUGAGGAGAGGGUAGUGCUAAUGGUGAUUCUUCUUUAUUGGGAUCCUUUCCAAUUUCUUCUUGUUGCCUUCUAUCUUCAAUUUGUAAUUUUCUCAUGAAAGUCUCCAAGUCUAAAUCAUCAUCAAAACUCUCUCUUUCUUGGAGAGAAUUGUUAUAUUCAUAAAAUAACAUGGAUGGACUCCUAUACAACCAUGGUUCUUUUGUUAAAAACUCUAAAGGUUUUACUUGAAGUUGAGUAACCAAGAAAAAUUCCAACAUCUAAUUUUGCAUCAAAAUUUCCAAGAUUGUCUUUGGUGUUUAAUAUAAAACAUUUUCACCCAAAGACUUUGAAAUAGCCAAUGUUGGGUUUCUUGUUUUUCCAAAGCUCAUAGGGAGUUUUCUUAAGAAUGGACCUCAAUAAUAUUCUAUUUAAAACAUAACAAGAAGUGUUAACCGCUUAGGCACAAAAAUAUUUUGGUAAAUUGUUUUCAUUUAGCAUGGUUCUAUCCAUUUCUUGAAGGGUUCCAUUUUUCCUUUCCACUACCCCAUUUUGUUGAGGAGUUCUAGGAGCCGAAAAAUUGUGGUUAAUACCAUGCUCAUUGCAAUAGUCUUCAAAAUUAAUAUUUUCAAUUUCUCUCCCAUAAUCACUUCUUAUACAAGUAAUUGUAAAACCUUUUUCAUUUUGAACCUUAUUGCAAAAUUUUGAAAACUCAUAAAAGGCUUCAUUCUUUUGACUUAAAAACAAGACCCAAGUGUAUCUAGAGAAUUCAUACACAAUAACAUAUGCGUAAGAUUUUCCUCCAAGGCUUGGUGUCCUAGAGGGACCAAAUAAGUCCAUAUGCAACAACUUGAGAGACCUAAUUGUUGAAAUGAAAAAAUUGUUUUUAAAAGAGUUUUUUAUUUGCUUUCUCAUUUGACAAGCUUCACAAACCUUGUCUUUUUGAAAAUUUAUUUUGGGAAGGCUUCUAACAAGUUCAUCUUUGUUGAGUUGGGAAAUGAGGUCCAUGUUAGCUGAUUGCGUGCCUAGCUAGUGUACCUUGAUUUUGGCCCUCAAACAGGAGUAAUCAACUAGUAUAACAUAGUGGCUCUAGGAUCGUUCACUAGGAAGAGUUUUCAACUUACUAUUGACAUUAAUUCAAAGUUGAAUUGAUGCUUUUUCAUUUCAAGGUUAGCUUCAAAAGAAAACAUAAACUUUGGUUUAAAAAGGAUUAGUUUUAAGCUAACUAAAAUAAGGUAAUGGGAAUUUACUUAUAAAGAAAAGCGUUUCUUGGAGUUUUAGGAUCAUUGGGGUCAAGCUCCUCAUGCAAAAAUAGAGUUCUGGUCACUUGAAUCUUUUCAUCGCAUUAGAGAAUUAACAUAUAGUUAUUUCUCUAACCGGUGUGGUACAGAUGCUCCCCUUUUAUGGAUUCAAACACUAAAUCUCUCUUACUGAUUCAUUUUGCAAUGACUCGUGCCUCUCACCUAGCAUUUGCCAUUCAAGGUGAUCAUUAACCUUGGAUUUCCCUUCUCAAGCUCAUAAGAGAUAACUAAUGGAUGUCUCCUUAGAGUCCAAAAGCUUACUAAGUGUUGGCAAUUCUAGAAAAUCCUACCUUCAAGUCACCUCCCAAAGGCUCGCAAGAGAUAAACUAGUGCAUCUCAAUGAACGGAGAUCACUUGCCUUACCAAGUGUUGGCCCAGGUAAUUUAAAGGCGUUUUAAGUUAACUAAAAACAUAGAAACCAUUAACGGGUCACACUUUCUCUUCAUUAAUAGCUGAAACAACAGAACUCUUAAUUCUUGCAUUCGGCACCUUACCCAGCUACCUUAGCUCCAAGAGACAAAAAGUCUAGCCACUCAUUCUCUGAGGAAACAUCCUCAGAGCUUGUUUGGCUAGUAAGAAAAAUACAAUCAAAGUGAGUAGGUAAGGCAGAGUAAAGCUCUAUAUAUUACUUUCUUCAAAACUAUACAAAAAGUUGUCUCUGAGAACAAGCUCUCAAGAGAUCCUUUGUGUAAUGAAAAUUAAAAACAAUAUAUAUGAGGUUAUUUACCCUUUGUCCUUACUUAUUAACUAAGGAAUCCAAUGAUUGGUGGAUUACAAUGAGAAAAUGGGGAUUUAAACAACAAAUAUCUGAAGAAAAAAAUCUAAAAGUGUCGGUCGCAAAUAUCUAGAAGCACUCAGGAGGAUUUCGCAGGCAUGCAAGAUGGCUGUGAAAUUUCGCAAGCUGAAGGUCUCCAUUUCGCAGCCAAGGGCCCAUUUCGCAGCGAUCACCUUGUGAUUUCACAGCUACGAAAUUGGCCUUCAGCUUGGUGUGAUUGGCUUCCAAUCACUAUAACUUCUUCAUUUCAACUCCGAUUCACGCACCGUUUAAAUCGUUGGAUUUUUGACUUCCAGAGCUUCGAAAUGACAUAUAGUAUGCAUGAAAUGGACUCCAAGAAUUGCUCCAAAAGUAUCCAACAGUUGCUGUCCUCUUGAAUUCUUCAUGUUAGAUUUCUCUCUUUGCUUUCCCUCCUUGCAUUCAUGAUUUGCUUAUGGCAAAGGACUAUAAAGCUUUAAAGCUUAGGUUAUUCAUGUUAAUGAGCUUCCAAAUUCUUUGCCAUUGAUUCCAUAGAACUCUCCUCAAUCUUGGAUUGCUUUGGUGAUCAAAAUACUAUCAAAAACACCAAAAAUUAACACAGUUUGAUUAGAAACGAUUGCAAAGGUCCUUAAUUUGCUAAUUGAGUUAAAAGGUAAUAAUUACUACUCAAAAGUGUUUAAAAGAGUUAAUUACAAGCUACAAAAUAACACUUUUUGAGUAGUAAUCACUCUCCCCAACCGACAUAUUGCUAGUCCCCUAGCAAAAGGAGAGAAAAAGGAAAAUAAAUAGUAAUAUACUUUACAAAAUCAUGUUGAUCACUUCAAAAAAUUUUAAGUGGCAUGAUGAUCAAACUCUGACAUGGAACAUUAAAGAUAUAAAACUCAAACUUCAACAAGAGUUAUCAAAUACUUUGCCUAAUCACAAUUCAUAAAGAAAAGACAUUAUGCAAAUUGAAGCUUUAAAAUCAUUUCCACUUCCAAAGGGUCAAACCUUACUCUUCCACAAAAAUCUAAGUGUUACUUGAUAGCUUCCGAAUAUUGUAUGCUGAACUAAUAUCUCCCCCCAACCUAGUUUUUUUUUUCAACACUUAGCAAACUGACAAAAUUUAAUAGGUUAAGAACGCACCCUUUUGUUUCACAAUUUUUUUCAUUGUAGGAGUACAAAGCUUAAAGGUAUUCUUUUCUAAAUUGUCCAUGUAACGAGGGUCCAUCGAUGACUCCCAAUCAAUUAAGGUUUAGGGCAUCAAGCUUUAAGGAUCUUUCAACCACUAACUCCUCGUAUUUUACCCCGGACUUUUGAGAAUGAAUUUUAAUACCCAAGCACCUACAGUAUGUUAAACUCCACCUAUUCACCCUUAUAACGAGCAUUGAGGUCGGUGACUCCCAACCAAUUAAGGCUUAGGGCACCAGGUUUUAAAGAUUUUCACCAUAUACCCCUCAAAUCUUGCUCGGGGGUUUCAAAGCAAGCAAACAUUUUUCUUUCUUUCUUUCUUUCUUUUUCAAAGGCUCAUUGGCCUUUUAUAAGGUGUCCCAACACUAUUAAAUUGAGUUCAAAGGUACCAAGUCUAAAUUUUCCUAAGUCAAGGGGGUGAAAUAGUUUUUCAUCUUAUAAUCAGAACCUAUUGUGCACAGUGUGUGAAUAGCUUAAAAUGGAAGAACUAAGGUUGAAUUAAAUAUAAGUUUCAACAAUUCAUCAACUUUAGUAGGCAUAAUACAAACUCUAAGUCAAGUAAAAAGACAAAAAUUCAAUUUCUCCCUUUUUAGUUUGAAAAUUUUUCCUUAAUAACCAUGGAGAGUAGAUAAAAACUUAAAAAAAUUUAAAAUUAAGCAAAAAGCAACUAAAUUACCAAAAUAACUUAGCAUUAAUAACAAAACUUCCUUCCUCAACUCUCCCCCCAGCUAAGCUGAACAUUGUCCUCAAUGUGGCAUGAGCGAUUGAAAAACAGGGAGGAAGUGGUGCCUCCUGAGUGAUAUGAAGUUCUAGUAGAAUAGGAGAAACCACAUGUUUCAAAAACAAUAAAAGAUAUGAGUAGAGGAAUUAAAAUAAAAUAAUGCCAAUAGUACUCAAAAAAUGAUAGAUUUGUAUUACUUCAUGAUAAUACACUAUAGAGUAAAACAAGUAAUACAACCAAUCCCAAUAUAAAAAACAUCAAAAGCAUGGGAUUACAAGUUCUACACUAGUAAAGAAAUACAGAAAGGAAACUAUGUAAAUGAUUAGAUAGUGGUAGGAGGAUCAUGUGGAGAUGAUGGCUUUAUCUCUCCUGUAGUCGGCUCCUUAAGGGGCAUAGUCUGCUCCGUGAGAUGAGGGACCUGUGAUGGAUCUGUAGGCUCUGAAGGGAUAGGAAUGGCGUGCUCAGGAGGCAAUGGAAUACCCAGAUGUUGUUGUAUCUGCCUAAGAAUGGCAAUAUGAUGGGUUUGGGUGGCUAUAAUCUGCUCCUGAUGGAUACGAAGAGUUGUCAUCUGUUGAGUGAGGAUGCUCUGAGAAGUGGUCAAUGUCUGCAAAGUGUGACAUAGGCCUCUAAACUUGGAAAUGGAUAUGGCGAUCCUAGACUCAGAUAGAGGAGAGGGCUCUGAUGUAGAUGGUAUAACAGGCGGAGUCCUUGGUGUGGUAGGAGGAGCAGAGGGUGCAACCUCAGGCAUAGGUCUUGGAGAGGGCACUGUAGGGGCAGGUGCUCUCAUGUCAACUGGUAUCUGAAUUGGCUAUGGCUCCUCUGGAUGCUCUGGAUGUGGAAUCUCUGGAUUCUUUAGUCUAGCUAGGGCUCCUGGCUCUGCAUCAUAGGUUGUCAUACUCGUCCAUUUGUCAAGAGUGAAUAUCUCUCAACAAAUGCAUCUGCGCUCAAGCUGAGGCUCAGAUGGAUAUCCCAAGUGCUCCAAAAUCUGACAUAGCAACCUUGGGAAUAGAAGUGGAAUAGCAUCCACUCUUAGCAUCUUCUUCCUAUGGACCUUCUCUUCAAAGUACAAAAGAGCGGCCAUAAUGAGAUGAUGAUGGCCAAAGAAGAAUCCCUCUAAUAUCCUGAACAAUGCCUCUAGCAAAGCUCCUCUCCUCUGCACCAUAUGUUGAAACUGAUAGAUGUUAUGGCACAGGAGUGCAUCUAUAAAGAACAUGCUGGGAGGGAACUUCUUCCUCAACAGAUAAGGUCGUGUGGAUGCCCCUCUGGACAGUAUAUGGACCAUGUCACUCUGGGAAGGAUGAGCCUAGACUCGAUAAUCCUCUGGACGUGCUGGCUCGUAGGGAAUGCAUAGGGCCUCUGCUAUAUGUCUGGCUCCCAGGAUACCAUGGUGUCCAUCAAUGGUGAAGUGGAUGACAGUAGGAUCCCGGACGUGAUGUGUAGUCAUAGACUAAUAAAAGUCUAAUGCUACACAGGGAUAGAAGAAAUCCCUGGGAGUCAUCAGGUGCUCCAUAUGGUAUCUCUGGAGCAGAUGGAAGGAAUCUUUGAGUUCUGGUUGAAACCUGAAGGUAGCUCUGUCAAAAUAAAGCUUUGAGUGGAAUGGCCUAGCCCGACAAUCCAAAUUACCCUCAAUGGGUGGCUGAGUGACCAUGGAAUGCCUGAUAACCACCUCAGGAGUCAUCCCAGAGGGAAUCUAAGACUCUAUGGCAGGUGGCUGAGGCGGCUGAGGCUUUGAUGGAGGCUCUGAUGGCUCAAGUGGAGCUAAUACCCUUGCUUUCUUCUUAAGGGGACGGCUACCUGACUUUUUUGCACGAGAAGAGCUUGCCCUGAGUGUGGUGGGUGGUCUCCUCGUCUCAUAUCGCCUCGAAUGAGGACUCAGGGGUGCGUCCUCAAUUGAAGGUGGGACAACUAGUGGCUAUGAAGGCUCAGUCAUGGAGCCUUGCACAGAGGUCUUCCUUGGAACUCUAAGACGGCUUGAAGGAGACGAGGACUUAGCUCCUUGAGUUUUUGCCAUGGUUGAUUCAGAGGAGGUGGUCGGAGAUGCGCGCGCGGCUUGGGCUCAGAUAGGGGUCCUCUGGAAGUGGUGCUCUAGCUUGGGUCUUAUUUCGCACCAAAGGGAAGUUCAAAUGACCGGUUUAAAAAUGAAAUUUGGAAAUUAAAAUGUUUAAAAUGGAGGCCAAGUGACGGUUAGAAUUUUCGCAGAGGAGGGGCGUUUUCGCAGCGGGGGCUAUUUCGCAGCCCAUUUCGCAGCUGCGAAAUGAGGGGGUGGGGCUACGAAAUGGCACUCGUGUGGCAAGGGGUGGUUUCGCAGUUGCGAAACCAGCUGCGAAAUGGGGCUUGGGCUGCGAAAUGGCACUCGUGUGCCAAUGGGUGGUUUCGCAACUACGAAAAUUUUCGCAGGGGGUGGCUAUGGGGCUGCGAAAUCAUUUUGUAGCGGAGGGCCAUUUUCGCAGCCAUCCCUUGAUUUCACAGUGGGCACCUUGUGGCUACAAAAUCAUUUCGCAACAAAUGGCCGUUUACGCAGGGGCCUAUUUUGGCCUGCGAAAUCUCGCAGACCUUUGAAUUUUUCUUGCUCCUGAGCUCUUUUUUGCUCCGUGAGACCUCCUUCAUUUCUUUUGCAAUUUCUCCUAAAUUAGAUCAAUCAAAAAGUCUAAGUUACAUAUUAAUAACACAAAUUAAAACCAAAAUUAAAGUCAAAAUAAUUAAUAAGCUCUUUUAACAAAAUUAAACAAAAAAUAUGGACUUUGGUGAAACCAAGUCCAUUUAACCCCUUUCUGAUUAGGCUUUCUGGGGCUCAAGGAGAUUGAUUUCCUCAUUUUCUUGCUUGAAUGGCUCAAUGAAUGGUUUGGGACAAUGACCAUUGACUUUAAAGGUGUCAGUGCUAUUGGAAUUCAGUAAUUCCACCACUUCAUUGAGAUGCACUUGGUGAAUAAUGAAAGGGCCUAUCCACCUUGACUUCAACUUCCCAGGAAAGAUAUGGAGCUUUGAGUCAUAGAGUAAGACUCUUUGUCCUUUCCGGAAUUCUUUGUUGGAGACUAAUUGAUCAUGCCACCUCUUCAUCCUCUGUUUUGCAACUUUGGAAUUGAUGUAAGCAUCAUUUCUUAAUUCCUCCAUCUCAUUAAGGUCUAAGCACCUCUUUGCCCCGGCUCUGAUCAAGUCCAUGUUUAACUUCUUGAUUGCCCACCAAGCCUUAUAUUCAACUUCCACAAGGAGAUGGCAUGCUUUGCCAUAGACUAGGCGAUAGGGAGACAUGCCAAGAAUAGUCUUGUAAGUUGUUCUAUAUGCCUAUAGUGAAUCAUGGAGCUUAAUAGACCAAUCUCUUAUGCUCGUGUUCACCACCUUCAUCAAUAUAUUCUUGAUUUCCCUGUUUGCUAACUCAACUUGCCCGGAAGUCUGAGGGUGAUAAGGUGUAGCUACCUUAUGCUUCACCCCAUACUUGGCUAAUAGGGUUUCAAAAGGUUUGUUGCAAAAAUGAGUACCUCCAUCACUGAUUAUGGCCUUGGGCACCUCAAAUCUUGAGAAGAUGUUCUCUUUGAGAAACUUAAGAACCACCCUGUGAUCAUUGUAUUUACAGGGGAUUGCCUCAACCCAUUUAGAAACAUAAUCCACCCCCAUCAAGAUAUAAGAGUUACCAAAAGACAUUGGGAAAGGUCUCAUGAAGUCAAUGCCCCAAACAUCAAAGAAAUCAACUAUUAGAAUGGGGUUCAUGGGCAUUUGAUUUCUUCUUGUUAGCUUCCUGAGCCUUUGGCAUCUAUCACAGCUGCUACACAUGGUGUGGGCAUCUUUGAAAAGUGAUGGGCAACUAAACCCUGAUUGCAACACCUUCAUGGCUGUUUUCUGAGAGGCAAAGUGGCCUCCAUAUGCACUCUCAUGGCCAUGGCUGAGGAUUCCUUGUUGCUCUUUUUCGGGGACACACUUCCUGAUUAUUUGAUCUGCACAAUACUUGAAAAGGAAAGGCUCUUCCCAAUAAUAAGCAUGAAUCUUUACAAAAAAGUGUUUCCUGUCUUGUGCUUUCCACUCACUUGGAACUUCACCAGUAACUAGAUAGUUAGCAAUAUGAGCAUACCAAGGAGUUUUUUCUAGCAACAUAAGUGAUUCCUCUGGAAAGUCAUCAUUAAUAGGUAAGACAUGGGAAUUGUGUGCUAUAGCCAACCUUGAAAGGUGGUCAGCUACCACAUUCUCCACUUCUUUCUUAUCUCUGAUUUGGAGAUCAAACUCUUGUAGUAAGAGAAUCCAUCUAAUCAACCUUGCUUUUGCAUCUUGCUUUGUCAAUAAAUACUUCAAGGUUGAAUGGUCAGUGAAAACAAUGAUGAAAGACCCUACUAGAUAAGCACGAAACUUGUCUAAGGCAAACACUACAACUAAUAAUUCUUUCUCUGUAGUUGUGUAGUUCCUUUGAGCUUCGUUCAAUGUCUUGCUUGCAUAGUAGAUCACAUAGGGCUUUCCAUCUUCUCUUUGGCCAAGCACAGCUCCUAUAGCAAAGUCACUAGCAUCACACAUCACUUCAAAAAGUAGUUGCCAGUUGGGAGCCCUCACUAUUGGAGCAGUUGUCAAGAAUUGCUUCAAUUGAUCAAAACUCUUUUGACAUCUCUCAUCUCAUACAAACUUGGCUUUCUUAGCCAAAAGUUCACAAAGAGGCUUUGAAAGCUUAGAGAAAUCUUUUAUAAACCUCCUGUAGAACCCUGCAUGGCCAAGGAAUUGCCUUACUCCUUUUACAGUUGUUGGGGAUGGCAAUUUGACAAUAAGUUCCACCUUUGCUUUAUCAACUUCAAUGCCUUUCUCAGAGAUGAUAUGGCCAAGGACAAUUGAUUACUACUCAAAAAGAGCAUAUUUUAGAUAAUAAUUCUCAUGAGUUUCACGUCUUUUGAAUAGUAAUUAUGCCUAAAACACUCAAUUAACAUGUUGUUGCCCUUGCAAGAGUUACUAACAAGUUUUAUGAAGUUUUUGAGUCAUUUCAAGGUAUGUUUUUGAUAAAUUGGUGACAAAAGAAAUGAAUCAAAUUGAAGAAAACAAAUAAAGUUGAUGAUGAUCCAAAUGCAUAAUGAAAGAAGCAAUGCAAUCGGUUUGGAUCGGGAUUUGGAGUUGAUUUAGAGAUAGUUGAAGUGGAAUCAAGAGAAAGAAAUGAGAGAAAUUGCAAAGAGGAGUCGAAAAAGCAUGUUUUUCAAUUUCGCAUGACCAUGCGAAAUGAAACAAAGUAGGCUUGGCUGCAGCAUAUAAGGAAAAUGUGAAAAGUGAUUUCGCACAGUCAUGCGAAACACUCCAGCUAGACGAAAAUAUAGCUAAUGGAUUUUCUACUUCGCAUCAUUAUGCGAAAUUGCUGAGGGCUCAUGCCAAAAUGUAUUUUCUCCAGAUUCCUUGAUGAAGAAGCCUUCGGAAGACCUCUUAGAUGAUGCCAACUGUCUACUUGACCUUGGCAUAUAAAUAGAAACGUGAUUGACUCAUUUAAAGACUUUGGAUACAUUUUCUAAUUGUAAAACUUUCAAGGUUUCUUCUCUCUAAAUAAUUCUCUACUUUCCUUCAUUUUCUCUCAUUUUCUCGGUAGCCAAACAUGUCUUGUGAGAUCAAAUCUCCAAGCAUGAGUGGCUAAAUCUCGUUUUUCUCGGAUAAGGGAGCAUCUAGAGGCAAGAUCUAUGGUGAAUUAGAUAAUUGAGCUUGAAUUGCAAAGGUAAUUUGAUCCAAUUGAUUGAUUAAUUGAAAUUUGAGGAUUUUUCCCUUCAAAUUGUCUUGGAUGAUUACUACAAUGCAAGCUAGGUAGAUUCAUCAAAUUCUUAAUGUUAGAUUUGAUGAGAUUGAAUAGUUGCAUUUGUGUGAAUCAUUGGAAGAUAAUUUAAGAUGAACCGAAUAUAUGAUUUGAAUUGAUCUCUUGGAUUAGAUUACCUAAUUUGAAGAGAAAUUAGAUCUAAAUCUAAAGCUAAAUCAAAAAUUGGUUUAGAUGAAAAUUUAGGUUUUCAAUCUAACUUGAUGAAAAUUAUAUCUCAAAAACACCUAUUCACUAUGAAAAUUGCCUUCUAGAAAAUCCUAACUCCAAGAAUCUCACCUCUUAUUAAUUUUCUUCUCUUUUACACUUCAUUUUUCUCUCAAUUUGAAUACAUUGUUAUUUUGAAAUUUUAUCAUGCAAUUUCAAGUCAAUUUCACUUUAUCACAAUCAUUUCUUAUCAUCUCAUUCAAGCCUUAAUUACCGAGAAUAAUCCAUUCUUGUGGACGAUACCUAAAUACCACUAUACUAUAGUAGUUUGUACUAAAACCACUUUUUGAUCGAGUACAAAUUGCUAUAGAAUAGUGAAUUAAGUUAUAAAUUUUGUUUUGAUCCAAUAAACGACAAAAUCCGAGUGAUCAACAAUUCCUUGUUGUACCAUAAAAUGGCAUUUCUCUCAGUUGAGCACCAAGUCCUUUUCAAUGCAUCUUUUAAGAAUCGCUUUCAAGUUGACUAAGCAUUCUUCAAAUGUACCUCCAUAUAUGGUGAUGUCAUCCAUGAAAACCUCCAUAAUUCUCUCCACCAUAUCACUGAAGAUACUUAGCAUACAUCGUUGGAAUGUUGCAAGUACAUUACAUAAACCAAAAGACAUUCUUCUAUAGGCAUAUGUUCCAAAUGGACAUGUGAAAGUGGUCUUCUCCUGAUCUUCAACAUCGAUUUCAAUUUGAAAAUACCUGGAGUAGCCGUCCAAGAAACAAUAGAAAAGAUGGCCAAAGACUCUCUCCAACACUUGAUCAAUAAAUGGCAGUGGAAAAUGAUCCUUCUUUGUCACAACAUUCAAUUUUCUAUAAUCAAUACACACCCUCCAACCUGAAGUGAGGCGUGUAGCAACUUCUUCUCCCUUUUCUUUUUGAACCACCAUAAUCCCUGACUUCUUUGGUACCACUUGAGUAGGACUCACCCAAGGGCUGUCAGAUAUGGGGUAUAUAAUACCUGUUUGAAGUAGCUUCAGAACCUCCGUUCGCACCACCUCUUGCAAAUGAGGAUUCAAUUUUCUUUGAGGUUGACAAAUUGGUUUAGUUUCUUCCUCCAUGUAUAUAUGAUGUGUACAAACCAAAGGACUGAUGUCUUUCAAGUCAGAUAAUUGCCAUCCUAUUGCUUUCUUACACCUCUUGAGAACUUCAAGUAGACACACCUCCUGAGGACUAGUAAGAGAUGAAGAUAUAACAACAGGGCAUUGUUUAUUCUCUUCUAGGUAUGUAUAUUUCAACUCCGUGGGCAGAGGCUGAUUGAGCUUUGGGGUCUCUUCUUUAGCAGCUUCAUGUGCCUCCUCUUUAUUGAACAAAAGUAGAAUUUCUUCUCUCCUCCUCCAACCUUGUAGGGUAGCAAGCACAUCUGAGGGUUCAGACAACCCUUCUUCAAGAUCCCCAAGACUUUCAUUCAACUUAUCUUGCAUUUUUUUAUUAUAGUGCUCCUCCAUUAGAGUGUCAAUUAUGCACACCUCUUCUAGACCCUCUUCUUCUUCCGGAGUUAUUAGCUUUUUGGACAUAUAGAAGAUAUUGAGCUCCAAUGUCAUGUUGCCAAAUGUGAGUUACAUGAGUCCAUUCCUACAAUUUAUGAUUGCAUUUGAUGUAGCAAGGAAUGACCUUCCAAGGAUGAUAGGAACAUAAUUCGUUUCCUUAACAAUGGGGUCCGUAUCAAGAACAACAAAAUCUAUUGGAUAGUAGAAGUUAUCAACUUGAACUAAGACAUCUUCAAUUAUCCCCCUUGGAAUUUUCACUGAUCUAUCUGCUAGAGAUAGAGUGAUUGAUGUUGGCUUCAAUUCACUAAGUCCCAAUUGCUUGUAGACAGAGUAUGGCAGCAAAUUCACACUUGCUCCCAAGUCUAACAAAGCUUUUUCCACUACUUUUCCCCCAAUCAUGACUGAAAUGGUAGGACAACCCGAAUCUUUGUACUUCAAAGGAGACUUGCAUUGUAUGAUAGCACUUACUUGCUCAAUCAAAAAGGCUUUCUUAUUCACAUUCAACCCUCUUUUGAUAGUACACAAGUCUUUUAGGAAUUUUGCAUAUGUUGGAACUUGUUUAAUCAUAUCCAGCAAUGGAAUAUUGACUUUCACUUGUCUCAAUACUUCAAGAAUUUCUGAUGCAUUUCUGAUCCCCUUUCUCCCAUGCAAAGCUUGAGGAAAAGGUGGAAGUGUGUGUUUCUUCAUCAUUUCUUCCUUGAUAAGUACUUUAUCUGGAUUUGCAUUCACUAUUGAAUCAUGGUCCUAUUUCCCUUCACUGGUAUCUUUCUUCUUUCCUUUGAUUUCCUCCCUCUUCUCUGUCUCUUCUUCUUCUUCAUCCUCUUCAACAUGUGGCUUGGGUGUUGGUAGCUCAACCUUUUUACCACUCCUUAGAGUGAUCAAGGCUUUAACAUCUCUCACCUGUGAGGACUCUCCCUCAUGAGUUUCCACUUCAUGGAUACCCUUGGGGUUUUGGUGAGGUUGAGAAGGAAAUCUACCCUUCUCUUGCAUUGUAUUCAGGUUAGUGAGCCUUGAGAUUGAGUAUUGGAGAUUAUCUAUCUUCUGAGAUAAGUCAUUUUGCAUCUCAUCCAUCCUUUUAUUCAAUGUAUUCUCUACACUGUCAAUUCUUUGACUAAGUUGAGCAUUGAUGGAUUUUUGGUCUCCAACAAAAUCUCCCACAACCUUGAUUAGAUUCACUGUUGCUUGUUCAAGAUUUGAAGCUUGUUGAGAUGGUUGAGCUGGUUGUGCAUACUGAGGUGCUCUUGGCUUCUAAGAAAAAUUUGGAUGGUUCCUCCAACUUGAGUUGUAAGUAUUUCCAUACGAAGCAUUGUUGUUGGGCUUGAAUUGUCCAAUGACAUUUGCUUGAUCUCCAAACAUUUCCCUAGCAGCUGGAAUUGUAAGGCACUCCUCCACCAAGUAUUCAUAAGAUUGACAAAUAGGACAUGGCUUGACUUGCACUAGUGUUUCAACAACAGCUUGUACUUCACGUAUCUUUUUCAGUUCUAGCUCCUCUAAUCUUCUUGUCAUAGCUGCAAACUUUGCUUUCAUAUCAACAUCUUCAUUCAAGGUGUACAUCCCAGCCUUAGCAUUAAAGGCAUUCGGUUGAGACUUCAUCUUCCCCACUUCUCCUUUGUUCGUUUCAUCCCAUCCCCUUGAUAUUUCAGCCACAUAACUUAAGAAAUCCAUAGCUUCCUCCGGAUUCUUACUCAUGAAAUCUCCUCCACACAUUGUCUCAAGGAGUUGCUUCAUUGAGGAAGACAUCCCAUCAUAGAAAUAACUCACCAAUAGUCAUGUAUCAAAACCAUGGUGAGGACAAACAUUGAUGGCUUUCAUGUAUCUUUCCCAACACUCAUAGAAUUUCUCAUUCUCUUUAGCUGAGAAGUUUGAAAUUUUCCUUUUCAAGCCAUUUGUUCUGUGAGUAGGGAAAAUUUUCUUAAGGAAUUCAGCUUGAAAAUCAGUCCAAGUCUGGAUACUCCUUGGCCUUAAAGAAUUAAGCCAAAUCUUGGCCUUAUCCUUUAAAGUAAAAGGAAAUAUCUUAAGCUUCAUCAAGUCGAUUGAAGCUCCUCCUUCUUGGAAUGUAUUACAAACAUCUUCAAAUUCCUUGAUAUGUACAUAGGGAUUCUCACUUUCCAUCCCAUGGAAAGUUGGUAGAAGUGGAACAAUAUGCGGUCUAAUCACUAGCUGCUUUGUAGGGGGCACUAUACAUGAUGGUGCACUCAUACGAGGUGGAUGCAUGCGGUCCCUCAUUGAUCUGAAUGCGUUGGGAUUGUCCUGGUGACCAUGGUGACUAUGCUGCUCUUCAUAUGUAGCUUCCAUGAUGUUUAAGCUCAAUUCCAAUUCCUUGUUAUGAGGUAUUUCAAGUUUCACAAGCCUUUCUCCACUAUCUCGUAUCCAAUUUGGCAUACACAACUAGUAUCAACUGUAACAAACACAAAAACAAAAGAAAACAAGACUACAAAAAGACUAAGAUUAACUAAAACUAAUUUAAAGGAUAUGUUAGAAUAUGAACAAGUAAAAGAAACAAUUAAAAGAGUUAGUAAAAUGAAAGAAAAAUCACCAAACUUGUGAUGAAAAUCACAAGUACUCUGAAAUAAUAUCAUUGUGAAGUUGGCACACCUUCCCCGGCAACGGCGCCAUUUGAUUGCGUGCCUAGCUGGUGUACCUUGAUUUUGGCCCUCAGACAGGAGUAAUCAACAAAAUUUAUAACCUAUAUCACUAUGUGCUAGGAUAGCCUCAGCUAGUAUAGCAUAAUGGCUCUAGGAUCGUUCACUGGGAAGGGUUUUCAACUUACUAUUAACAUUAAUUCAAAGUUGAAUUGAUGCUUUUUCAUUUCAAGGUUAGCUUCAAAAGAAAACAUAAACUUUGGUUUAAAAAGGAUUAGUUUUAAGCUAACUAAAAUAAGGUAAUGGGAAUUACUUAUAAAGAAAAGCGUUUUUGGGAGUUUUAGGAUCACUAGGGUCAGGCUCCUCAUGCAAAAACAGAGUUCCGGUCACUUGAAUCUUUUCCUCGCAUUAGAGAAUUAACAUAUAGUUAUUUCUCUAACCGGUGUGGUACAGAUGCUUCCCUUUUAUGGAUUCAAACACUAAAUCCCUCUCACUGAUUCAUCUUGCAAUGGCUCGUGCCUCUCACCUAGCAUUUGCCAUUCAAGGUGAUCAUUAACCUUGGAUUUCCCUUUUCAAGCUCGCAAGAGAUAACUAAUGGAUGUCUCCUUAGAGUCCAAAAGUUUACCAAGUGUUGGCAAUUCUAGAAAAUCCUACCUUCAAGUCACCUCCCAAAGGCUCGCAAGAGAUAAACUAGUGCAUCUCAAUGAACGGAGAUCACUUGUCUUACCAAGUGUUGGCCUAGGUGAUUUAAAGGCGUUUUAAGUUAACUAAAAACAUAGAAACCAUUAACGGGUCACACUUUCUCUUCAUUAAUAGUUGAAACAACAAAACUCUCAAUUCUUGCAUUCGGCACCUUACCCAGCUACCUUAGCUCCAAGAGACAAAAAGUCUAGCCACUCAUUCUAUAAGGAAACAUCUUCAGAACUUAUUUGGCUAGUAAGAAAAAUACAAUCAAAGUGAGUAAGUAAGGCAGAGCAAAGCUCUGUAUAUUACUUUCUUCAAAACUAUACAAAAAGUUGUCUUUGAGAACAAGCUCCCGAGAGAUCCUUUGUGUAAUGAAAAUUACAAACAAUAUAUAUGAGGUUAUUCACCCUUUGUUCUUACUUAUUAACUAAGGAAUCCUAUGAUUGGUGGAUUGCAAGGAGAAAAUGGGGAUUUAAACAACAAAUAUCUGAAGAAAAAAAUAUAAAAGUGUCGGUCGCAAAUAUCUGGAAGCACUUAGGAGGAUUUCGUAGGCAUGCAAGAUGGUUGCGAAAUUUCACAAGCUGAAGGUCUCCAUUUCGCAGCCAAGGGCCCAUUUCGCAACGAUCACCUUGUGAUUUCGCAACUGCGAAAUUGGCCUUCAGCUUGGUGUAAUUGGCUUCCAAUGGCUAUAACUUCUUCAUUUCAACUCCGAUUCAUGCACCGUUUGAAGCGUUGGAUUUCUGACUUCCUGAGCUUUGAAACGACAUAUAGUAUACAUGAAAUGGACUCCAGAAAGUGCUCCAAAAGUAUCCAACAAUUUCUGUCCUCUUGAAUUCUUCAUGUUAGAUUUCUCUCUUUGCUUUCCCUCCUUGCAUUCAUGAUUUGCUUAUGGCAAAGGACUAUAAAGCUUUAAAGCUUAGGUUCUUCAUGUUAUAUAUGACACUUCAAACCCAAAGGUCAAGGGUACUACCAUCAUUUCACAUGUCAAAGUUGUCCAACCCAAGAGCCUAACACAUAAAUGACCUUGACUAACAAAUCCAUCAUGUAGCUAGUUGAUAAUUAAUUACCUCCAAUUGACAAUCACAACAUAAUUCAAAAGUUUAUGAAUCUUUGAUCCAAAAUUAAUUAAAAUAUCCAAACAAUAAAUUUGAUGUGUAAGCGUUUUGUGUGUUAGCAAUUCUAGGACAAGAUUCUCAUUGUGUUUCUCCUAACUGAAUCUCUGAAAUAAAAUUUUGUGGGUGUUGAGCUGAAAAUCAUCAUUUGAAUGAAAAAAAUUCUUUCAAAAUGGGUUGAUUUGGUAUAAGUUUUAUCCCUACUUUAAUAUUCAUCAUACUUAAGGUAUUACCCAAAUUUUUUCUUUGUGAAUUCAAGAAGAGACCAAGAUCAGGUUUGAUGUGGACUCAAAAUAUUCUCCAAGAAAAGAAAGUAGAUAAGUUAAGUUUGAAGGUUUCUUAAUUGGAGAGUAUUGACUCAUUUACAUGUAAAUUGUAUUGAUUAUCUUAUUCUGAGAGUGUUGGUACAUUCAUUAUUGUUUGUAUUUUGUUUGUUUCGAUGAGAUUGAAAGAAAAUAUGAGUUCUUAAUAUUUGUGAGGUAUCAUCUCAAAAUGAUUCUAAAAAAUACCUAUUCACCCCUCCUAAACUCAGAAUGAUUCUAAAAAAUACCUAUUCAGCCCUCAUAAACACUAGCACAAUAUUAAGAGAUAGUCAAAUACAAAUAUAUAUAUAUAUACCUACCUUUAUUUAUUUAUUUAUAUAUUAUUUUUUAGAAACUCUAAAUUAACUUGAACAAUUCAAGUCCAAAACUCAAAUUAAAACCUUAUUAUAUUUAGUUAGUCCAAGAUUUUAUUUUUUAAAAAUAAUUAAAUUAUACAUUUACCCAAACUUAAUGUUGGAGUGUUACGAUAUACGUAAUAAACUUUUUUUAAUUAAAUUAGAUGUGUAUUUAAUCAUGACAAUAAACUUUUUUUAAAAUAUGUUUGAUUGUGAUUAUAGGAAGUAUUUUUAGCAUUUUUAAUAUUUAAAAGAUAAAAAAUUUCAAUGUUAAAAAAAGUAAUAACAUUUCCUAACACGUCAAACGCACCCUUAAUUAACUAGGUGUGUUUUUAAUCAUGUCCACCCAGAGCAAUAAUAUCUGGAAAUGAAAAUUUGGGUGGGGGUUCACGGAAAACGAUGACAAUUUUCCCUAUACAAAAUAGCAGAGUAGCCCAUUUACCAAUUCUAGUGGCCUCCAAGUAAUGCAACCCAAAAGAAUUGUUAAAGAAUCGUUAAGAGAUCUGGCACAUGCCCACUGAAUUAAUUACAGAUCCGGCAUAUGCCCACCAUCCACCUCUCUGUAGUUCAUCGAUGGGGGAUUUCACUCAUGUAAAAUAGGUCAGGUUCCAUCUACGAUUCUACAGCCAUCUGCGGUACCGUUCUUUUCACGGUAGUAUAAAAAAGGUGUUGGUCACUUGGUCCUAGUCAAUAGGCAAACUCGACCAAUACCCCAAAACAAGCAAACAACAAAUAAAAAUAGAAGAUGUUACUUAUCAGGUUGAUUGGCUAAUAUCACGCAUUAAAGGUUUCUGGCACCAGCUACCCGAAAUACCAUUAGCCCCUUAGACUCCCCUCACCUCUCCACAAGCCUAUAAGAUUAAAAGUUUCUCUUUUUAUUGAAAAAACAAGCUUAAAUACUUUAAAACACAUACUCUAUAAGCUCUUCUUACAAAUUGCACCAUUAAUUAGAUGAUACCAUAUAUAUAUACCUAUCAUGUCUCAUUAUUUAUAAUCUAAUAUGAUUUGCUUAUAAUUUUAUAUUUUAAUUCUAUUUAUUUAUAUUAUUAUUCAGCGGUUUAAGUCUAAUUAUACAAAUUCAACGGUCCAUAUUUAAAUUUUGAUGGAUAUCAUUAUGGUACCUUAACAAUUUUCAAUACAUAAAUAUAUUUCUUUUGAACUCUAACUUCCUUGGUAUUGAUUAAGAGCACAUAGACACAAAAUGAAUCUAAUUUGAGUUCGGCAUUGCAAGGAAUAAAACAUUGAAACGAAAAUUGAAGAGUAAUGUAAUGGUCAAUGUCCACAAAAAUUAUGAUAUCUCAUAUCAAUUAGAGAAAGAAAUUCUUGCUUUUAAUACAUGAGCAUUGUUUUGCGAAAAACAGAAAAGGUCAACGUAAAUGAUAUCAGAAUUAAUCUUUCAUUGAAAAUACUUGAUCGUGUUUUUAUUCAAAUUGAAAUGAAAAAUGGAUGAAAUAUUUCCCAUGAUUUUCAUGAGGGUGUUGAUUCAAAUUGGUUCGGUCCCCCUCUAGCUUUUGUCCUUUUUGCUCUUAUUCUCUUAAAAGGCCAAUGGUCAAGGUCUAGAAUUAUAUAAAAAAAAAAUGGGUUGAAUCAUGGACCCAUUAAAUUAAAUUAAAUAAUUUGUUUCCUUCAAUGCAAGGGUCAUCCAAAGAUUUCAGUUUUAUAUCUGAAUUUCAUAGGAGUUUUGAUGAGAAAAUGUUAGGUCCGAAGCAUAUGGCCAAAGUCUCCAUCUAAAGUCAAAGUUCUUUUCAAGCACUCUACAGUGAAUGGGUCUGACCUCGUCAAUUUCCUUUCCAUUUCCUUGUUUGGUUACCAAGAAAAAAGCCCAAAAAGCGUCUAGACCAUGAUUAGAUCCAGAACCGUUGAUUGGUUGCGUUUAGACCAUGAAUUGGUAUAUUCUGUCUUUUUUUUAUUAAUUAAUAAGAUUUAAUGAUGAAUACCUUUAGUUUUGUAAAAAUUAUAAGAUAUAUAAAAUAUUUUUAUUAAAAUAAAAAUAACAUGUGCAUGAUAAAUUUUAUAAGAGUGUAUAAGACAAUGACUUUAAAAAACGUUAUUAAUAUUAAAAAAAUUAAAUAUUAAAAAUAUUUUUUAAAAUCAUUAUGAUUCCAAAUUUAUGUUAAUUAUUAUUUCACUUAAAAAUAGGAGUAUAAAUUAUCUAAUAUUAAUCCAUUAUUUUGUAAAUCGAACAUAGUUGUUUUUCUUUUUUUGGCCAAACAAGUUUUAACAUUUAAAGAGUUGUCUUAAAUUAUUUUUAUGUAAGAAAAAAUCCUCUUGAAAGUGAUAUAUGUAUUUUAAAAAAAAAAAUUGUUUGAUUAAAACUUUGGGACCAUGAGAAAUAUUAAGAAUCCAAUGGGUGUUGCACGAGGGUACAAGUGGUAUUUUAUCAUGCUAGGUGGUUCAUCCCCAACCAAUGGUUAUAGACAAAUCUCACCUAUGGGUGACCCAAUCAAUUUGAAAAAUUAGGACAAUGGAUUAUUACCACCAAGGAUGAAAAUAUCGGUAAUCACGAAUAUAUCGAUAUUUCGAUUUUACGGAUAUAUCGAAGAUAUAUCGGCAGAUAUUUUGGAAAAAAAUAUCGAUACGCUUAAAAUUGUUAAAAACUCAUAGAAAUACAAGGAAAACUUCAUAAUAAUAUAAUUAAAAGUAUAAUAGACAUUUUAAAGUUGUUUUAUUGAAAAAUUUGAUAUACAUAUGAUAUAAUUUGUGAUAUUAGAUGUAAUUAUAUCAUAUCGAUCUAUAAGAAAUGUUAAUUAUGUAAUUGUUCUCAUUAUAAAGUUACAUAAAAUACUUCAUUUCAUUAAAUAUCAAUAAUUUGUACACAUUACAUUGCAAUGUCCCUGUAGUACCAAAAUGAGGAUCGAUGUGGUUCAAUGGGAUUGAUAGAUAAAAGAACCUCGUCUUCCUAUUAGAGACAAUAUUAACAAAAAUUGGAGUAAUGAGAGAGCAAAUGAAGAAUGAAAGCAAAAAUGGAUGAAAUGGAUGAAAUUUGGGUCAAAAUAACCAUUGGAACAUUAUUUUAUCGUUAAAAAUCAAUUUUGGCUGUUGGAUCAAAAUCUAGGAGCAAUCUGGCCAUUGGAUCGUUAUAUUACCAUUGGAAUCACAUCUGGGCUGUCGGAUCAACAUGGGCGUGAUCUAGGCCUUCAGAUCACGCUGCAUGAAGAAAGGGAAAAAUCGCUAAAAAAUUGGCAAUUUAUCUUCGAUUAGUCGCCGAUAUCUCGGUGAUUUAUUGCCACCAGAAGCGAUUUUUUCACAAAAUCGCCAAUUUAUCUCCCCGAGCCGAUAUAUCACUGAUAUAUCGGCGAUUUUUGCAGAAAUAUCUCUCAUUCAAUUUUUCUUCACGAAAUAUUGUAUCGACCCUUCCCGAUACACGAUAUAUCGCCGAUAUAUCCCGACAUUUUCCUCCUUGAUUACCACAAGCAAUAAGGGACAAUAGAUGAGUGAAACGCAACGUUUUGACAUGGCACGAGCCCCAAGCAAUGAAAACUCUCUACGUGGCACACGUCCAGUGCCAAAAUAUCAUCGAGCACCAAAAGUACCAGACAACUGAAUCUCUUCAAUUGUCUAUGACGCUCACACAUCGUCCACCGUACUCCCUCAUUUCUCCUUCAAGCUCUCCGAUUCAGUUCUACCAUUGAAGGUUCGCUACUGAAUCUUUCUUCAUUCUACUAAGUGGUUUUUCUGUUUGGUUUUCGAGAAUAUUAAGGAAGUUUUGGUUUUUUUUUUUUUAAAAUGUGUUUUUCGAGUGGUUGGUUCUGGGAAAGUAUACAAGUCAACGUAGUUAAGCUGGCGUUUGAACCAAAACCAAAACAUGGGAAAAUGUCAGCUUUGAAUGUUUUUUUUUUUUUCUCUCUCCUUUUCCUCGAGCUUCAUGGUCGGGAAAGGCAACUUAAAGCUUCAAUUGGAAAUUGGUUUCUUAAGUAAAUAUUUGCUAGUUUGAUUUAAGUAGAUUGAGCUUCAUGGAUGACCCCCUUAUAAUUUUAUUAUUAUUAAAGUAUAUAUUUUUAAUUUCAAUGAUAAUUUAUAAUUUAAUAUUUUUUAAUUAAAUUAGAAAAUGAAAAAAUAACUAAAUCUUUCAUUAGUAAUUAAGGUUUCAGAUCAAAAAUCAAAUCUCAAUUGGGAAUUAAGGUUUCAACUUAAAAUUUUAUUAAAAAAAUAUAUUUUUUUUAAUGAGAUGGCUCCCAGCAACAAUAAUAGUACUAGUUUAACGUGACUCUAAGGGUUGGUUGCACGUCAUUUCAAAGAUGUGAAAAGAGCUAAAACAAACUAUUUUCCAAAUUAGUUGUAAAAAUGAACAAUCCAACUUUUUCAAGAAAGGCAUGGAUGCCUCUCUUCUUAUUAUUUCAGGAUUUGUUUGCUAUAGCCACAAAUCAGCCAAUUCAUUUUUCAUCUACCAUUACCUUUGUUCUAAAGGCAUUUUCAACACUGGAAGGUGUUCUCUCUCUCUCUUUCUAUCAUGCAUAUAGGAAGAGUGUAAAUAAUUUUUAUUUUCAUUUUAUUCUAUUAGUCUUAUAUUUUUUGGAAAAAUCCUAUUGGGAAUUAUUUUUAUUUUAUUUUAUUUUCUUAGUCUUAUAUUUUUGGGAAGAGUCCUAUUAGGAUUGUGCUAAUGGAGUCCCAUUCCUUUUAUAAGUAGAAUCAUCUUCCACUUUGAGUCAUGCUCUGAUUACAAGUAGAGUCUCAUUGAGACUGUUUUAGUGGCCUAUAAAAGUAUGUCACCCCUCACUCUAUAAAUACGAAUACCAAUUUUUCAGAGAAUUUUUUAGAGAGUUUUUUAGAGAGUCAUUUCAUAUAUCUAUCUAGAGGAAUUUUUUUCAAUGUACACAUCUCGCUUAUAGAGUGUACCCAAGGUGAGAUCUGGUUGUUGAAUCCUAGAGGUAGACCACUGGUACCCUAGUGCACCGAGUUCAUCUUCGAGGAAGGUGGAUCUAUUUCAAGGACAGUAUUUAUCACGCCUCAACCGAUAAGUUUUUCUUUUUAUUGAUUUUAUUCUUUGUUUAUAUCUUUUGGGCUAGUCAUUUGUUUUCAUACCCUUAAAUCCAACAAUCUUAAAAUAUAUCCAAAUGGAAGCUUAUCUAGUUCACACCCGUCCUGACACCUCUAAAAUUGAUCCCUUCAAUGGGACAUUCUUUAAGAGAUGGCAGGAAAGGGUUUUCUCUGCUAUUAAUGUAGUGAACUUAAGACACAUUUUAACUGACCCAAAACUAGAAGAUGGUUCUCCUUUGUUACCAACCUGGGAAACUAGAAAUAAACAAAUUAGGCAUGUUAUUCUGAGUACCCUUUCUAAUGAACUUUUUGAUAUUUAUUGUCAAUUUAAAGUUGUAAAAGAAAUUUGGGAUGCAAUGAAUAAAAAAAUAUAUUUUGGAAGCUACAGGAACUCGGAAAUAUGCCAUAGGGAAUUUUAAAAUUUUCCAAAUGACCGAUGAUAGAGAUGUAUCAUCUCAAAUCCAUGACUACCACUUAUUGAUUAAUGACUUAGCUAUUGAAGACAUUAAAUUACCCGAACCUUUUGUGACUGGUUAUUUAGUAAAGACUCUUCCAAAGUCUUGGAAAGACUAUAAAAAUAACAUGAAACAUAAAAGGAAACAAAUGUCCCUAGAGGAUGUCAUAAUCCAUAUUAGGAUUAAGAAACAAAAUCGAAAUAGGGACAAUGUUGAGAAAGCUAAGGAAUUGUCUUCUAAGGCUAAUGAAGUAGAAGAAAAACCUAAACCCAAAACAAUAGGUCCAGGAAACAAAACUCUAGGACCAAGCCCAAUGCAUCAAACAAGGUCCAGAACUCAAUUAUGAAAAAACGGGGUAAUUGUUUUGUCUGUGGCAAGUUUGGACACCAUGCAGCUCAAUGUCGCCACAGGAAAAGAACUAAGAAAUCCAAUUUAAAGGAAAAUCUGGUAGAGUCAGAGGUGAUCACAACAGUAAUUUCCUCUGAAGUGAGCAUGGUCACCAAUAUGAAGGAUUGGGUGGUAGACUCUAGGGCUACCAGGCACAUCUGUGGGAAUAGAAGUGCAUUUACUUCCUAUACCAUUGUAAAGGAAUGAGAGGAACAAGUGUUCAUGGGUGAUUCUAGAUCUACUCCAGUGAUUGGAAAAGAGACAAGCUAACCUCUAGAAAAGCGCUUUCCCUUAGUGACGUUCUUCAUGUGCCAGAUAUCCGCUUGAACUUGGUGUCAAUAUCUCUACUUGGAAAAAUAGGAGUGAGAAUCUUGUUUGACUCUAAUAAAAUAGUUUUAACCAAGAAUGAUGCAUUUGUGGAAGGACUAUUGUAAUCAUGGUUUAUUUGUUUAUGAUAUUAUCAAUAAUAAUGCAUCUUCUUCUUCUGCUUACAUAGUUGAUUCUUGUGAUAUUUGGCAUGGUAGACUAGGACAUGUGAACUUUUCAUAUAUGAAGAAAAUGUUUGAAUUAAGUUUAAUCCCUAAACCGUCCUUAGAAAACCAUAGAAAAUGUGAAUCUUGUGUAGAAUCUAAAACCAUAAAGAAAUCUUGCAAAUCAGUCGAAAGAGGAUCAGAUUUACUAAGUUUAAUACAUAGUGACUUAGGAGACCUAAAAAAAUACAAUGACUAGAGGUGGUAAACGAUUCUAUAUAACUUUCAUAGAUGACUACUCAAGGUAUACAAGGGUAUAUUUUUUUAGAAACAAAGAUGAAGCAAGAGUUGUUUUCAUCAAGUACAAAAAUGAAGUGGAAAAUCAAUUAAGUAAGAAAAUUAAAAGGCUUAGAAAUGAUAGGGAAGGAGAGUAUGAGUCCAACCCCUUUAAUUCAUUUUGUGAAGAUCAUGGGAUCAUUCACGAAACUACUCCUCCUUAUUCCCCUGAGUCUAAUGGAGUAGCAGAAAGGAAAAAUAGGACAUUAAAAGAAAUGAUGAAUGCAAUGUUGGUAAGUUCAGGAGCACCCUUGAACUUGUGGGAGGGGGGGGGUGAGUUAUCCUAUUUGCUUGUCAUAUUCAAAAUAGAAUACCUUAUAAGAAAACUAGUAAAACUCCUUAUGAGUUGUGGAAGGGUUAUGCACCUAAGAUAGCAUACCUGAAAGUGUGGGGGUGUUUAGCUAAAGUUCUUAUCCCUUAACCUAAAAAAAUGAAAACUAGGUCCUAAAACCUUUGAUGCAAUGUUCAUUGGCUAUGUUGAGAAUAGUACGGCAUAUAGGUUUCUUGUUACUAAGUUAGAAAACAGUCUUGUAGUUGUCAAUACUAUAAUAGAAACAAAGAAUGCAGAUUUCUUUGAAAACAUCUUUCCUAUGAAACUAAAUGGUGAACAACAAGUUCAAAAAACAAGUAGAGACAAGUCUAUUGAACCUUAAUAAGUAAAAGAGAUAGGAAAGAAACAAACCUUGGAGAUGGUUUCUACACCUUCCUAAUAGAUGAGGACCCUAGAUCCUACAAAGAAGUUAUAACUUCUCUUGAUGUACCAUUCUGGAAGGAGGUCAUUAACGUGAAAUCGAAUUAAUCAUGUAUAACCAUACAUAGAAGUUAGUAGAUUUACCUCCUAGUGUAAAGACUAUUGGUUGUAAAUAGAUCUUUAAAAGAAAGUUAAAACAAGAUGGGUCCAUAGAGAAGUAUAUAGCUCGUUUAGUUACCAAAGGCUUUAAACAAAGGAAUGAUGCAGAUUACUUUGACACCUUUGCCCCUAUGACUAGAAUAGCAUCAAUUAGAGUAUUGAUCGUUCUAGCUUCCAUUCAUAAUUUGGUGAUACACCAAAUGGAUGUCAAGACUGCAUUCUUGAAUGGGGAUUUGGAAAAGGAAAUUUAUAUGGAUUAACCUGAGAGUUGUGUAGUUCCAAGAAAGGAGAAAAAGGUGUGUAAGUUGGUUAAAUCACUAUAUGGGUUAAAAUAAGCUCCCAAACAGUGGCACAACAAGUUUGAUCACAUGUUAGUAACUAAUGGAUAUUCCAUUAAUGAUGUUGAUAAGUGCAUCUACAGCAAGUAUGAGGAUAACAUAUGUGUAGUUAUCUGCCUUUAUGUUGAUGACAUGCUGAUAUUUGGAACUAGCCUAGAGGUUCUAUGUGAGACCAAGAAAUUCCUAGGUUCUAAGUUUGAUAUGAAAGACCUAGGAGAGGCAGAGGUGAUUCUAGGAAUUAAAAUAACUAGAACACCUAAUGGGCUUAAACUCUCUCAAGAGCACUAUGUUGAAAAGAUCCUAAGGAACUUUGAACACUUUGAUUAUAAAUGAGUGUCAACUCCUUAUGAUCCCAGCUCACAGCUAAAGAAAAAUUGAGAACAUAGUGUUGCCCAAAUAGAGUAUGCUCAGAUCAUAUGGAACCUAAUGUACUUAAUGAACUGUACCAGACCUGACAUUGCUUAUGCAGUAGGUAGAUUGAGUCGGUACACCCAAAGUCCUAAUCAGGACCAUUUGAUUGUUGUUUGUAGAGUCCUUAAGUAUUUGAGAGGCACCAUUAACUAUGGUUUGUGCUUUAGUGGAUUUCCAAGUGUUCUUGAAGGAUUUAGUGAUGCAAAUUGGAUCUUGAAUUCAGAUGAGAUGAAAUCCACUAGUGGAUAUGUUUUCAUCCUUGGUAGAAGUGUAGUUUCUUGGAAGUCUGCCAAGCAAACUUAUAUUACUCGAUCUACUAUAUAGGCUGAGUUUAUUGCUUCAAAAAAGGCAAGUUCUGAGGCUAAGUGGCUUAUAAACUUCUUUGCAGAUAUCCCUUUUAUGAACUAGACCAACCCCGUUUGUGUCUAUGCAUUGUGAUAGUCAAGCUGCAAUUGCUAAGGCUAAGAGUAAGAACAAACUUGAUGGAUUCACCUAUAUGAGAGUGGAGGUGGGGCCGCUUCCUUGAGAACUUAGGCAUAUUCUCUUGAGCUCUUAUGAAUAUCUAGGCAGAGCACAUGGCCUAUUUGUACCACCCCGUUUUGUGCAACUCAUAGUGAAGUUGAGAAAACCAAUGUGGAUAAAAGUCCCUUGAGUUACAUCAAGAAACACUGGUUCUAGAAAUUUAUUUUCACCGUGUUUUGUGAUUCAAUACUUAUUUGUCCUAAAACUAGUUCAUAACCUUUGGGCACUAGCACUGAUGCAUUGGGUUCUUUUUUCCUCCAAAAAAAAUCGUGUUUACACUCUAUGGGGGACUAUAAGAAGAGUGUAAAUAAUUUUUAUUUUAUUUUAUUAUAUUAGUCUUAUAUUUUUGGGAAGAAUCCAAAUGGGAAUUGUUUUUAUUUUAUUUUAUUUUAUUCUAUUAAUCUUAUAUUUUUGAGAAGAGUCCUAUUAUGAUUGUACUAGUGGAGUCUCAUUCCUUUUAUAAGUAGAAUCCCCUUCCACUUUGAGUCAUAUUAUGAUUACAAGUACAGUCCCAUUGAGAUCGAUUGUUUUAGUGGCCUACAAAAGCAAGUCACCCUGCACUCUCUAAAUACGAAUACCAAUUUUUAAGAGAAUUUUUAAGAGAGUUUUUUAGAGUCUUUUCAUACAUCUAUGUAGAGGAAUUUUUUUCAAUUUACACAUCUCGCUUACAAAAUCUACUCGAUGCGAAAUCUGGCUGUUGAAUCCUGGAGGUAGACCACUGGUACCUUAGUGCACCGAGUUCAUCUUCGAGGAAGAUGGAUCUAUUUCAAGGACAGUGUUUAUCACGCCUUAGCCGAUAAGUUUCUUUUCUUAUUAAUUUUGUUCUUUUUUUAUCUUUUGGGCUUGUCAUUUGUUUCCAUACUCUUAAAUCCACUAAUGCACACAUACAAAUACAUGAUCCCAUAGCUUCAUUUCCAAAUUGAAAGUCACCAAAUACCACUUCUCCUCAUAAUAGAUUUUGAUGCUACCUGUUCAGAAACUCCACUAUCAUCUUGAAGUUUCUCCAAGUACGUUUAUAUAAGUGUGUGUAUAUAUGUGUGCAUAUGUUUAUGUUCUGUGAGUAGAUGAGCACACUCAUCCUGAUUGAAUUGCCCACUUCUGAAUGUGACUUUUCUUGUAGGAAUUGGAUACUCACUUGAUCCAGAUUUUUCCUUUGAGAAGAUUGUUGCACCUUAUGCACAGGUUCCAUUCAUUUCCCUAAUAAUUUUAUGCAUCUUUUUUCCUCACAUGCCUCUUUAAUGCUUUUAGUUUAGCUUUAAUGAUUCACACCGUAUAAAGGAGUUUUUAUAUAUACAACAGGAACGGCGAACUGGACCACAACUUGUGCAUGAGAUAAUGAAACAAGUAGAUGAUGUAUUCUACUCUCUUCCCUUCUCACUUUAGUUCCUUCUGAAAAUUGAUGUUUCUUCCUUUCACAUUCUGCAACACUACUAUGAUACACACUAUCAAAAGACUAAAAUUCCCCUAUGAACAUGUUCAAGCCAGAACCUACACCAUGUCAUUGCCUUAUAGUGUCUAGAGGAUAGAAGAAUUUGUGAAACAACUUGAAUCAGGAGACUUGAAACUUCGAGUUCGAGUACUUGAGGUAGCUCAUCCACUAAAUAUUUUAGAAGAAAUAAUUACCCUUUUUUUAGACUUUGUGGGAAGUUCUCAAGAGUGACUGCUCUUGAGAGCUCAAACCCUCAUGAGAUGAACUCGACAUUAUUUUGGUUUGGGAUUGAAAACAGUCUGAAAGAGCAGCUCGGAAGGCAACCAUACUACAGAUGGCUACCAUGUACACAGUUUUUGGAGGUAUCCUGCUAAACCUUGGCGUCACAUUAGCCAAUCAAGGCAGUCAAGUUAUUGCAAAUGGAUCGUAUGUUGGUGCAGGUAAACUGUAUUUAACCCCAAAAACUUUCACACUCGAAUAUUUCUUCUUCUUGCCUCUAGACAUUUUCAAGUUUGCCUUCAUCAACUUCCCUGUGGCUAAAAUAUCCUGUUUUGUUAAAAUGCAGGCGUUUCUUGAUAUUGUUUAUUAGGUCCAUGCAAAGGGUGAAAAAGCUAGAUAAAUUUGAGAAGAUGAUAUGACUUUCAAUCCUAGAACUCAUGGACAGUCUCUUAGUUGUAAAAUAAUUUAACCUCCGAUUCUUGGUAAUAUAAUUGUCCCAAAAUUUUCAAACUUGCAUACAAGAGCUCUAUACACUACACGUAGGAAAUGAUUCAAGAUGAAAAAAAUCUAUGCAACUGAAAUCCAGAUCUGUAUGAUUCUAUACAAUGUAUAUCAUAAUCAGAACUUGAGAUCAAUGGAAUUAAUGAGCAACUUUGUUUUCUUUUUUCAUUAUUAUUGUAUUUUUAUUUUUUUUUAAGGUUUUGGACAAGGCAAUUAACAACCCAGAUUCAAGACAAAUAGUUUCAGAGAAAACUUAAAAGGUGUUGUUGGAAACUUGUGUCAUGGUCAAGAACAGCCCAGAGAUCUAUACAUGAUGUUCAAAGGAAUGGAUGACUAUUUUUUGAGUUUGUGUCAUGACCAAGGGGAGCCUAGAGAUCUAUAUAUGACAAACAAAGCAGUGUAUCUGACCUAAUUUGUUAGUUUCUCAAAGGAUUUCUCUGAAUAUAACAGCAAAGCCUUCUGCUACCUUCCAUGAGUCAAAAGCUUGAAUUGGCCUCAAAAUGGCCAGGAGGAUUCUUGUCUUUUGGGUGCCAGCAACUGGGGAGUUAAUUGGUCCAUUCAAACCUGUAAAAUAUAAUUAUAUCGGUUUUAAGCUAAUGGUUUGCACAUGCAACAAUUAUCAAAAGAAAAUUUUUAUGGGAAAAUAGGAAUUGGUCAUCUUUCCUUUCCAACCCUUCAAUUUGUCAUUCCUCGGUUAUAAGCAUCCACCAUUGUCGGAGCAGAUGAGGAUCCAAUACAACUCAACUAAUAUUGACCAUAUCAGUUCAAUUUUCAAUCAUUACAAAGCUCGGUUCUAUUUGAGGAUUAUAAAAACCAACCUAAUUGAUUCAAUUUUCACUUCCUUCGUCUACUAACUAAUAAAAACUAAACCAAACCAAUAUUUUAGUUUUAUAUCAUUGGGUAUGUGAAAGCCCUCUUGAUACCACUUGUUAAGCCAAUAAAAGCUAGCAUUGAAAUCAAUGGUUGAGUCAACGAAAAGCUCUAUGUAUGCAAAUAUUUUAAUGAAAGAGCAUGAAAUCCCAACUAUUAUUAUUAUUAUUCUUAUUAAUCUUACGUCACCUACAAGCAUCUAAAUCACACAAUUCUUACUAUUAUUAUUAUUAUUAUUAUCAUUAUUAAUAUCAUUAUUAUCAUGAUCCUUAUUAAUCCUAGUGUCCUCUUUUACCUAACAAAAUACCCCCAUGUAUUUUAACAACUCCAACAACCCCACCAACUCUACUCAUUAUUAUUAUUUUAAUUUAUUCCACUACCACUCUUUGCCUCUCAUAGUUACAAAUUACUAUUAUUAUUAUUAUUUGUCACCCAACACAGUACCUCAAAUCCAAAAUCCAGAAACAUGCAAUUCUUCUUCUUAUUAUUUUUUAAUCCCUUAAGCCACAUAUAUAUCAUAUAUUUAUUUACUCAUUUAAUUUUUAAAAUUUCAUUGUUUAGAUCUAUUCAUCUAAAAAAAAUUCAAAUUUCCCUAUUUUCAUCAAUGAAACAACCUAUAUUCAUAAUUUCAAUUUUUUGAUCUUAAAAUAAAUUAACUAAAUUAACCCUAAUCUAAAUUAAAAUUUUCUAAAAAAUAUUUAAUUUGUUCAAAACUAACUAACGAAUAUAAUAUAUUAAUCUAGCGUUAGAAUCUUACCUAGAAAAAAUCUGAACUUCUAACUUUAGACCUUCAAACCUUUAGCCCUAUGUUCUCUAAUUCUCUGAAUUUUGGUUAAUAAAGUUUUUUGAAUACAGAAGGCAAGAGAAAAAAAUUUAAUUUAUACCAGGGAUUAUUAAUUGUAAAAGGACCAUUUUACCUUUAGUGAGUUUAAUUAAUUAAUUUAUAAUUUACUAUUUUGCCCCUAAAGUUUAAUUUGGGGUUGUUAUAGUCAUGUCAUAAAAAAUAUGUUUUUUGCAAAAUUUAAAUUAAAACCUCAAUUAUCAAUCGAGACUUCAUUUUUUAAUUAAAACCACAAUUAGCAACUAAAACUUUUAAACUGAAGUCGCAAUUAACAAUUGAGACUUCAUUUUUUGAUCGAAACCUCAAUUGCCAAUUAAGAUUUCAAUUAAUUAUUUUUUACUUUAAAAUUUAAUUAAAAAUAUUAAAUUGCAAAUUAUUGUUGAAAUUAAAAAUAUAUACUUUAAUAAUAAAAAAUUUAUAUAUUUAAACUUAAAGAUCUAGUAUUACUUCAAUAAAGAUAAAUUGAUAAUCUUAAAACAAUAAAGUUAUAUCACAUAUAAAUAAGAUAUAAAAUUAUAUAAUUUAUUAAUUUAAGAUAUUUAAUUUAUUAUAUUUUUAAGAAAUUAAUUUAUUUAUAUUUUGAUAAAUUUAUUUUUAUUGAAAUAAUAGUAUACUAGAUCGUUAAGUUUAAACAUAUAAUUUUUUUAUUAUUAAGAUAUAUAUUUUUAAUUUCAACCGUUAUUUGUAAUUUAAUAUUUUUUAAUUAAAUUUUAAAAUAAAAAAACUAAAUCUUUAAUUGGUAAAGCAGGUUGGAGUUCAAAAAUCAAAUCUCAAUUAAGAAUUAAGGUUUUUUUUUUUAAGGGAGAAUUACCCAAAAGGGUAGGCUAGGCAGAAUAAUUACUAAAAAGGGUGGUAUCUUUUAAUAAUUCUUGGGGAGGACUUUAAUAAGCUUAAUAUACCAAAACUGCCCUUUAACUAAAACUUUUAAAAUUCAAAGCAUUUAAAGCACUUCACUUGAUUUGUCAAUACAUUUAUGGUACAUGGGUCCCACAUUUAUUGUAAUUAUUGAUAUUUAUAUUUUAAAUCAAAAUUUUGGGUUUAACCCUUACAAUUAUAUAUAAUUUGUUAUUUAAAUUUACAAUUUAAAAAAAAUACUUUUAAAAAAUAUUUUCAAAAUAUCAUUUAUUGUUUUUUUUUCCUUUUUUUAUUUUUAUUCUAAUUUUAAAUUUUAUGAAGAAAAAAAUAAGUUUUAUUAUUAUAUAAUAAAAAUGAUAAUUUUUUUAUAUAUAUUUUAAAUUGAUAAAUUAUGUUUUUGUAUUAAAUUUAAGGAAGAUAAAAUGUUUAAUUUUUCAUUCAGAUUCUCUAAAAAGAAUAAGAAAAUGAUAGAGAAUGUUUAAUCAUUCUUUUAUUUUUAUAAUAAAAUAAUUUAAAAAUAUAUAUGAUUUUUUUUCCUUUGCAUAGUGUUUUUUUUUUUUAAUUUUCAUAUAAUUUUUUUUUUCAAUGCAUCGGGUGAAUGAUGUUAAUAUAUUUGAUAUGUUGAAUAUUAAUAAGGUAUAAAAGGUAAUCCUCAAUAUUAUUACUUUUAUUAUAAAAUACAAGCACAACAAAAAUAUGUUAUAAUUACAAUAUAAAUACACUUACAUUACAAUACAUUACAAUAAAACCUAAUUAAGAAAUUUAUGAAUUUUUUUAUAAAAAUGGUAAUUUAUAUGAUCAUACCAUAUUUCACAACAUACCUAUAUCAUAAAUAAUUUCUAAAAUAAAAUGAAAUACUAAUUUGAAUUCACGUAGUUUAUAUAUAUAUAUAUAUAUAUAUAUACAAAAAUUAUUAAAUAAUUUCAAAACACUAAAUAAAUGUUGUUAAUAUAUUAAUACGAUGUGUUAAUACCAAUAGGGUAUGAAUAAACAUUUUUAGAAUUAUUACUUUUAUAAUGAAAUAUAGGUACAACAUAAAUACAUUAUACUUACAAUAUAAAUACACUAUCAUUACAAUAUAUUACAACAUAAUUUAAUUUAUUUUUAUUUAAUUUUUUCACGUGCUAUAUUACCCCAUGAAUAAUUGUGAGUUAUUCCAUUUAAUAGGUGUGUUGUGUUAGUCAAUUGAAUAUUUAUAUAUUAUUCAAUUGAUGAGUGUUCGUAAAAAAUAAUUAUUUAUUAUAUUAUGAUAACAAAGUUUUUAAUUGUAUGUUUUAUAUAUAAAACGAUAUAAUAACUUUAGAAUAUGGUUUUUAUUUAUGAGAUAUUUUUUUUUUUUUUACAAGGUUCUUUAAAAAAUCUCAAGUUUUUUUUUUAAAAAAAAAUAGCAAAUUUUUAAACAGUUAAUUAUUCAAAAUUGACAAUAAUUUUUUCAAAUUGAGAAAUGUAUCGUUAAUUGCCUAUCAACCGGUACUUAUCAUCAUAUAUGGGUCCUACAACAUUUAUCAAUCUGUACUUAUCAUCAUGUAUGGGCCCUACAUAAUUGACAAUCUCAAUUUAUUUAUAAAUAAUAUAAAAAACAUAUUUAAAAGUAAAAUUAUCUUUUAUAACAGUGAGUCCUCGUAGUCAUUAUUUUUUCUAGUAAUCCUCCCUUUUUUUUUUUUUUAAUGAGAUGGCUCUAAGCGUUGGUUGUCAUGUCAAAUCUCUGUUUAAAAGUGACUCUAAGAGUUGGUUGCUUGUCAUUUCAAAGAUGUGAAUAGAGCUAAAACCAACCAUUUUCCAAAUUACUUGUAAAAAUAAACAAUCCAACAUUUUCAAGAAAGGCAUGGAUGCCAGUCACUGUCAUACUUCCAUUGACACGAAAAUCUCAAUUACCAGUGUCAUGAAGAAGAAAGAGUGACCCAAUGCCAUGCAUGGGAUUAAAUCAUACAUUUUUUUUUCUAUAAAAACGCUGUUUUCCCACCAAACUCCGAAAUAUCAGCAAGCAACACAAGUACCAGACAACUGAAUCUCUUCAAUCGUCUGUGACGCUAGUGCAUCGUCCACCGUACUCCCUCCUUUCUCCUUCAACCUCUGCGAUUCAGUUCUACUAUUGGAGGUCCGCUACUGAAUCUUUCUUCGUUCCACUCAGUGGUUUUUCUGUUUGGUUUCCGAGAAUAUUGAGGAAGUUUUGGUUUUUUUUUUAAAAAAAAGGAACUUGGAAGCCUUGCAUUUUAUUGUUUUCUUUCUGGUGUUUGGUUCCUCGGAAAGUCUACAAGUCAACGUAGUUAAGCUGGCGUUUGAACCAAAACAGGGGAAAAUGUGAGCACUGAAUAGUUUUUUUUCCUCUUUCCUUCUCCUCGAGUUUCAUGAUCGGGAAGCGCAGCUUAAAGCUUCGAUUGGAAAUUGGUUUCUUAAGUAAAUAUUUGCUAGUUUGAUUUAAGCGGAUUGAAAUUUUGUUUCUUAGGAUUUAAACCGAGAACUCUUCCAGCGAUUGAUUAUUAUUUGUAUAUUGCAUUCGGUUGAAGAUUCAGAACUAUUGAAGAACUAUGGUUCCAUAGCCAUUGAGUGUUGGUUGAUUUGACACUUGAUAUUUGUUUUUGAACUUGAAUCGUAUGUGUUCUUUUAAUGAUUUAGUUUUGCUUUUGAUAAUUCUUUUUUGAUGAAUUUUAAUUUGUCAUUUCUGCUUAUAGCUUAUGUUAGUGUUCAAUCAUGGCCAGGUCUACAGGUGUUCUUUUAUUAGAUGGCGGCAAUACUGGCUUCACACAGCUGCUAUUGCCGCAAUGUGGAGUUGAUGAAUCAAGGAAGAGCAGUAGAGAAUCUCGGUUUCUCAAGCUCAAUUUCUUCUCAGAAUUUCUCAAAGUUUGAGAGGCCCACAUGUCAUCUGCCUAUGGCUGAUAAAUCCUUUAGAUUUCAAGUAGAGAUGCGAAAGAGUGAAUCUCCCGUGAGCUUAGGUACAAAUGGACGAGCUACUAAAAUGGUUCCCACGAGUGAGAUAGCGAAAAACAGAACCCCGCCCACCAAAAAAGUAGAAAUAGUGAAUGGCUCAAGCCGGGUUGUUAAUGGAGCAAGCAUAGUGAAGAGAGAUACUGCAACUGCCCUGGUUAAGGCACAAAAAAGUAAAGAAUCUAGAGAUCUCCCACCAAUGGAGGAGCUAAAGGUUCUGCCCUCUGAUGAAGGUUUCAGCUGGGCCAAUGAAAAUUAUAAUUCCUGGCAGAGGUCUAUAGAUGUUUGGUCCUUUGUUAUUUCUCUACGUCUUCGCAUUCUGUUGGACAAUGCAAAAUGGGCAUAUUUAGGAGGUUUUACAGAAGAUAAGCAGGUGAGUUUUGUUAAUCCAUUAUGGCUGUGAUCUUUUGCAGCUUGUUAAAUUCCUAACCAUGGUUGGAUAAUAGAGAUCUAUUUCACUUGCUGCUUAAUUAUGUCUACUAUGCCCAUUCUUCCAUUUAUUUCUGGGUUAUGUUGAUUCAUAAUAUUUAGUUUACUUUUUUCACUCAUAAAAUUCUUUCUCAUUCAGAAAAACAGAAGCCGUAAAACUGCCUCAUGGUUGCGGGAACGCGUUCUGCAACUUGGUCCAACUUUUAUCAAAUUUGGGCAGUUAUCCUCAACAAGGUCAGAUCUGUUUCCAAGAGAGUUUGUGGAUGAGCUUGCCAAGUUGCAGGUAUCCCUUUGUUGUGGGCUCUGUUUUCUUGCAUUCAUCUACUUCUGGAUGUGGAUUCCCUAGCGUAUAUGUAAUUUUGUCCUUCACAAUAAGCAUGUUGGCUUAUAAUUUUAUGAACGUCUCAGGAUAGGGUACCUGCUUUUUCAUCAAAAAAAGCAAGAGACUUAAUUGAGAGUGAACUGGGAGCUUCAAUUGAAAUAUUGUUCAAGGAGUUUGAAGACCAGCCAAUUGCUGCAGCUAGUCUUGGUCAGGUGUUUGCUCUGUGUUUGUUUAUAUUCCAUUCUGUUUUGGUCCAACCUUGGAGAAUUAUGAAAUGUUUGUUCAUUCUAUCUUGACCUUAUGAAGCUUAAAGGAUAUUAUUUUGCCAUGUGGUAUGAUAUCAAGAACAACCUCAGAGAGAAACUUUUUCAUACAACAAAAGGAAAAAAUUAUUCAAGUUGUAAAUGAAAAAGAAAAAACUAAUACUAAUAGAGGGUAGAAAGUUGUAAACUCCAUGGCUAGAGCAAUGAAGGAGAACAUCUACAAGCUGAUGGUUGCAUAUAAGUGCUGAAUGAUGAAGUUAGACUCUUGAUAAUUUGAACUGACCGAUAAUCUUGGAUAUUACUAUUUCCUUCUUGCAAUUUUUUGUCCCUUCUGCCGAUUUGAAUUUUGAAGAGUCCUUUUAGGUGCAUCGGGCUGUCCUACAUAAUGGAGAGAAAGUUGUUGUGAAAGUUCAGAGGCCUGGUCUCAAGAAACUUUUUGACAUCGACCUACGUAAGUGAUGCACACUUUUAUCAUUCUCCUAUCGUUAUCUUGUGGCUGUUUUUGAUAAUGAAAUAUUCAAAUAGUCUAUUUCUCACUGCAUUGGAAGCUCACCAUCAUUUGGCUAGUAUAGUUUUGUUUCAUAUGGACAUGCAGUUGACUCCAAUUCCAUCUCUCCCAUUCAUUUGCUUUCCUCAAAUAGUUGGACUUGGUUCAUGGCAUCAUGGAUAAUUAGUCAAAAGCCUAUUACCAUUUAACUGAUGAUCGUUUUUAGAUGUUGAGAAAGCAUAAAACUGACUAGAUGACCUGCUAUUAUAUUUUCUGCCAGAUGGAACUUUGAGGUUCCUAAAUUGCAAUUCAAUAAUUUUGGUUAGUUUACUCAAAAUUGAUCCUUCCUUCCAGGAAAUUUAAAGCUAAUUGCAGAGUAUUUUCAGAGAAGUGAAACCUUUAGUGGAGCAACAAGAGAUUGGAUUGGUAUAUAUGAAGAAUGUGCUACGUAAGUACAAAGCAUCUAUCAGUCAUUUUGUGUGUUUCUUUGGUAAGAAUAGUUUUACAUGCUGCAAAUGUGUAGUUCUGCUGGUAACAUUUUAUCAUGAAAAUGUUGCCCUCUAUCCAUAGAGUGUGUUCAAAGUUUUAUGAGCUGCAAGGUUAUGGUUGCUGCUGCUCACUCUUGUAUUUAUUUGGCUUCAGGCUUUUGUAUCAAGAAAUUGAUUAUAUGAAUGAAGGGAAGAAUGCUGAUAGAUUCCGCAGGGAUUUUCGAAAUGUAAAGUGGGUUCGAGUACCUGUAUGUUUCCAUCUACAAAACCUCAUGAUUGUUGAUGCUCAUUUUCUUUCAUUUCUUUCUCGGAUUUUUUAUUAUUAUUAUAAUCUUGUUAUCGUGUAAUUGAGUUGUGUACAGAGCAAUUAUUCUGUUCUUUUAAGUCUUUCUGAUCCUUAUUUUGAACCUUUUCUUUCCUCUUUGUAGCUGGUGUUUUGGGAUUAUACUGCCACAAAGGUAUUGACCUUGGAGUAUGUUCCAGGUUUCAGUCUUAACUCAUGAUUUUAAGGGCUACAGAAUUGAUUUAUUGUAGUAGUAGUUGAUUUGAUGUUUCUUUUUUUAACAGGCAUUAAGAUAAAUCGGCGGGAUAUGCUAGAUGCACAGGGUUUUAAUCGUUCUCGUAUUUCAUCACACGCUAUUGAAGCAUACUUAAUUCAGGUUAAGGGCCAUCUCCUGUCUGAUUUUGAUCAAACCUGAACCUUGUUACUAGUUCCUCGUGAUAUACCUUGUGUAGAUUAUAUGCACAAAGAAAAGUAUGAGUUCCCUAAUGACCCUCAUGCAUUUAAGCUAUUGUUUGAUGAAUAUUUCACUUACACUUUCUCUAUGACUGAAUAAUUCUCUCCGGAUUUGCUCAUAUAUUAGAUACUAAAAAUGGGUUUCUUUCAUGCUGAUCCUCAUCCUGGAAACCUUGCCAUUGAUGUGGAUGAAACGAUUAUCUACUAUGACUUUGGUAUGAUGGGAGAAAUCAAAUCUUUCACACAGGAGAGAUUGCUUGAACUUUUCUAUGCAAUUUAUGAAAAAGAUGCAAAAAAGGUUUGCUUUUACUUUCUCAAUAUUGAUUUUUUUUUUUUCAUUUUUUGAUUAUAUUAACAUGAUAAUCAGUGCUCUAAGUUGAUUGGAAUUGCAUCCCUCCAUUCACUCAUUAUGAUAUCCCUUGUUUGAUCCUGUCUCUUUCUCUUCUCUUCUUCAUUAUCCCAUCCUUAAAAUACUGUCAGCCUGGAUGAAUUGGGCUUAAACUGGCAAGCUGAUAUGUGCAGGUUAUGCAAAGUCUUACAGAUCUUGAAGCACUGCAACCCACAGGAGACUUGUCAUCAGUAUGUCAUCUUCAUACUGUAUAUACCUAUAAAUGUCAGGAUGAGAGUCCAGCGCUCAAUUUCAUCAUCUUCUAGUGAUAAAUAGGUUUUCUAGGCAUUCAUUCGCCCAUCUCUGAAAGUUUUUUCUAUUCUGUUCCUAGGUGAGGAGAUCAGUGCAAUUUUUCUUGGACAAUUUGUUAAGUCAGACGCCAGAUCAGCCGCAGACUUUAGCUGCAAUUGGUGAGGUAUGCAAAUAUUUGUCUAAAAACUGAAUAAUCAUGUGAGCUCCUAUUUGAAACAAUUAAUUUUUUCGUAGUGCACAGGCAAAGACAUGUGAUCAUUCAAACUUCUCAUGCUUCCAUAACUGGUAAAAUGCCAUUAGGCAUAAAGGGGUCUCUGCUGGAUCAUUCAUCAUUGAAAACCACGAGAAGAAUUUGCAAUAUAAGAUAUAGUUGGAUUGACCAAAAAUUGAUUAUGAUAAUUCUUAUCAGAAGGUCAUCAGACUCUUGCAUUGGAGGAAAGUGCAUUAUCAAUUAUUGUCUCUUAGGUAUCAAGUGGUAGAAUAAAAAAGAAUGAGGGCAGAAGACAAUAUCCUAGUAGCUUUUUGUGCUUUCAAGUAAUGGAUGUUAGGUCCUUUAACUAUUCUUUGUAUUCUUAUUACUACUUCAGGAUUUGUUUGCUAUAGCCACAGAUCAGCCAAUCCGUUUUCCAUCUACCAUCACCUUUGUUCUAAAGGCAUUUUCAACACUGGAAGGUGCUCUCUCUCUCUCUCUCUCUCUCUCUCUCUCUCUCUCCUGCACACAUACAAAUACAUGCUCCCAUAGCUUCAUUUCCAAAUAGAAAGUCACCAAAUACCACUUCUCCUCAUAAUAGAUUUCGAUGCCACCUGUUCAGAAACUCCACUGUCAUCUUUAAGUUUCUCUAAGUACGCUUACAUAAGUGUGUAGAUAUGUGCGCAUGCGCAUAUGUUUAUGUUCUAUGAGUAGAUGAGCACACUGAUCCUGAUUGAAUUUCUCACUUCUGAAUGUGACUUUUCUUGUAGGAAUUGGCUACUCACUUGAUCCAGAUUUUUCCUUUGUGAAGAUUGCUGCACCUUAUGCACAGGUUCCAUUCAUUUCCCUAAUAAUUUUAUGCAUCUUUUUUCCUUACGUGCUUCUCUAAUGCUUUUAGUUUAGCUCUAAUGAUUCACACCGUAUACAGGAGCUUUUAGAUAUACGACAGCAGCAGCGAACUGGACCACAAUUUGUGCAGGAGAUAAGGAAACAAGCAGACGAUGUAUUCUACUCUCUUCCCUUCCCACUUCAGUUCCUUCUGAAAAUUGAUGUUUCUUCCUUCCACAUUCUGCGACACAAUAUGAUACACAUUAUCAAAAGACUAAAAUUCCCCCUAUGAACAUGUUCAGGCCAGAACCUACACCAUGUCCAUGCCAUACAGUGUCCAGAGGAUAGAAGAAUUUGUGAAACAACUUGAAUCAGGAGACCUGAAACUUCGAGUUCGAGUACUUGAGGUAGUCAUCCACUAAAUAUUUUAGAAGAAAUAAUUACCCUUUUUUGAGACUUUGUGGGAAGUUCUCAAGAGUGACUGUUCUUGAGAGCUCAAACCCUUAUGAGAUGAACUCAACAUUAUUUUGGUUUGGGAUUGAAAACAGUCUGAAAGAGCAGCUCGGAAGGCAACCAUACUACAGAUGGCUACCAUGUACACAGUUUUAGGAGGUACC
Molecule: long non-coding RNA, 58921 nt
Filed under: Vitis vinifera (wine grape)
Lineage: Eukaryota; Viridiplantae; Streptophyta; Magnoliopsida; Vitales; Vitaceae
Description: long non-coding RNA (VVIN_LNC003781)
Source: RNAcentral